RNAcentral lists this long non-coding RNA (65513 nucleotides) under Solanum tuberosum (potato). RNAcentral describes it as "long non-coding RNA (STUB_LNC002615)". Lineage: Eukaryota; Viridiplantae; Streptophyta; Magnoliopsida; Solanales; Solanaceae. The record is from RNAcentral.
CGACCACCAUCUAUGUUGGACUUACGGUUCGUAAUUCCUUCUACGGACCGUACUGGUCAACCGUAGAAAGCGAUCAGAGACUCUAAAUUUGGCCAACAAUCGACGAAACCCAUGUAUGGCUCGUAGGUCUUCCUACGGUCUGUACAUGCCAACCCUAGAAACCAACUUUAAUCUUUGAAAUUUCACUAAGUAUAGGGGUGAAUUGUAAAAAGGGUACUGGGACUUGUUUUGAAAAAAUUAUUUUCCCACUACCUACGAUUGCCAACUACGACUCGUAGAAGCUUCUACGGUCCAUAGAUGGGACCCAUAGAUACAGACACCAGUCCAAAACAACAUUUUUCCUUAUUUGAGGUGUUAUAAUAUCUCCCCCUUGGGAAUAUUCGUCCUCGAAUGGAACUCAAGACAUCAUAAGGAGAGUAAGAAAAAGAUCUAAUAGCCCAACAUGAAUGCAAUCACAUAAUUGCACAGAUUCGAGGAGAAAAAUUGACUCCAAGCUAAAGCAUGUCCAAAUAUUAUUUCAUAAGGCCUAUAUGCAACUCACACUCAAAUGCACAUAAACAUGGAGAAAUCAAUCAAGUUAACUCAUUUUCUCAAAAAUCAUGUUUUCAUGAGCAUGCAUUCAUGAGGAAAUAUGAGAAUGCCUAAGAUAUAAGGAUGAACCAUGAGGAACUAAAUACUUCAAGCUAAAGUGGAGUCAGAGGGAAAGAGAUUAUGGUACGACACUUCAUAUCGGCCUCUGCCUCCCAAUUAGAACCCUCAACUAACUGAUUCCUCCAAAGAACCUUUACGAAAGCAACUUUCUUAUUUCUCAACUUUUUAACUUGCCGGUCCAAAAUCUCAAUUGAAACUUCUUCAUAAAGAAAGAUUUUCCUUAACUCCCAAACUUUCCAAGGGAACAAUGAAUGUUGGAUCUCCAACACAUUGCUUCAACAAGAAGACAUGGAAAAUGGGAUGUAUCAAUGCCAUAUCAUUAUGUAAAUCAUUUUCAUAAGCAACUUUGCCAAAACACUUUUAAAUUUGAUAUGGGCCCACAUAACAGGGACUAAGCUUCCCUUUCUUUCCAAACCUUAUCACACCUUUCAUGGGUGAGAUUUUCAGGUAAACUCAAUCAUGAAAAUUAAACACAAGGUCUCUCAUUCUAACAUCGACAUAGGACUUUUGUCAACUUUUUGAGUUGUUUUCAACCUUUGUCUAAUAAGCCAAACUCUCUCCAUAGCCUUAUGUACAAACUCGGUACCUAUCAAAGCAACAUCGCCAACUUUAAACCAACCUAUAUAUGAUCUGCACCUCCUACCAUAAAGAGCCUCAAAUGGAGCCAUACCAAUGGUGGAAUGAUUGCUAUUAUUGUAAGCGAACUCAAUCAAAGACAAAUGAUCAUACCAAUUACCCUUGAAGUCAAUCACACAAACUCUCAACAUAUCUUCCAAAGUUUGGAUAGUACGCUCCGCUUGCCCAUCAGUUUGUGGAUGAAAGGUCAUACUAAUCUUAACACGAGUAGCAAGACCCUUUUGAAAAGAUUUCUAAAAUUGAGAGGUAAAUUGGGUGCCACGAUCGGAGAUAAUGGAUAAGGGCACUCCAUGAAACUUAACCACCAAACCACAAAUCGUUAUUUUUUCAAUUUGAUUUGGUUUGUCAGUUUGGUUUUACUUUACAGUCUGGCUUGUACACCCCAAACUACAAGUACACCAUAUGGUUCUAAGACGAGGGUAGGGGACCAGACCCCAGAUCAAAAGAAUCAAGCUCUGAUUAUUAUUGAUCUGGUGGGUCAGCCACCAAUGGUUCCUGCACCGGUUGUUGGUCCACAGAUUGCUCUUGAGGUUAUUUUGACAACAGUUGCUCAGCAGUGUUAUAAGAGGUUUCAGAAGAUUAAACCACCCUAGUUUCUGGGUGGUAAUAGUGAGGAUGCUCAUGAGUUCUUAACUUUGUGGCAUGAGAUGCUUGAGGCAGUGGGUAUGGUGGAUACUCAUGGUGUUCGAUUGUUGCACUUCAGCUUCGUGGAUGUUCCAAAGAGUGGUGGAGGACUUUUAUGAGGUCUAGACAUAUUGGAUCUCCCCCGUCAGAGUGGUAGGUGUUCUCUAAUGCUUUGCAGGACUACUUCAUUGUCGAUUAAGGUUUGAGAGCUUGAAUCAAGGUAGUUUGUCUAUGACCGAGCAUGUGGCCCAUUUAUGUGAGAUUUCUUGGCAUGCUAAGACUAUUGUUCCGAUGAGGUAGAGAGAGUCCACAAGUUUGUGAAAGGGUUGACUUUCUCCAUUAGAUAGUAUGUGUUCAUAAAAGCCAAAGAGGGGGCUUCUUUCUAGUCCAUUGUGAGCACCGUCAAGAAGGUGGAGUUGAUGGUUUUAUAGGAGUUUGGGGAGCCCAAGAGGGGUCAUUCGUCUAGAGACUUUUCUGGUACCUCAUAUGGAAGCAGAGGUUUGCAUAGAUUUCAUAGUUCCUUUCACCAUCGUAGAUCAGUUCAAGCAUCUAUGCUAGCAGCUGAUAGUGGACAACCUGAUAGAGGAUCUUAUGAUUGUGGGUGAGGUGGCUAUGAUAGUCUGUCGUGUUCGCAACAACAGUUAUAUGUGUCAAUGUUUUGUUAUUCUUGUAGGGAUUCAGGUCAUUUGAUGUAUAGUGUCCUUUACAGACUCACUUAGAACCCCAUCGUUCUUAUUUAGCUGCCCAGCUAGGGAUUCAGCGCCUCCAACCAAUGGUCGAUGAAGAGGUCAGUUUGGUAGAGGCAGUAGAACUUCUUGUAGGGGUGUUCCCGCUUCACAUGGUGGAGGUAGGGGUUCUAAUCAAACUGUAGGUGGAUAAGAGGGCCAGUGUUAUGAUUUUCUAGGGAGGGAUGAGGCCAAGACUUCUGAUGUGGUGAUCACAUGGAUCAUCCCAAUUUACCAUCGACCUAUAUAUGUAUUAUUUGAUAUGGGGUCUACUUUCUCAUAUGUGUCUACCUAUUUUGUUCUUGGAUUUAAUAUGAUUUUUCAUUGCAUACAUAUGCAUAUUCAUGUUUCAACACCAGUGGGUGAGUCCUUAGCGGUGGAUCAAGUGUAUCAAUCAUGUCUUGUUUCUUUAGUCAAGUAUGAUACUUGGGUAGACUUGAUCAUUCUGGGAAUGGUAGACUUUGAUGUUAUUUUGUGUAUGGAUUGGCUCACUCCACAUCAUGUUAUUCUUGAUUAUUAUGCUAAGACUAUGACCUUAGGGAUCUCGGGUGUCCCGAGAGUUGAGUGGACGGGAGCUAGUGGUUCUUACCCUAGAAAAUUAACUCAUUCAUUCGAGCUCAGAGAUUGGUUGAUAGAGGGUGUUUGUCCUAUCUAGAUUUCAUUCGGGAUACUACUGUUAAGCCUCCUCCCCUGAAUUUUGUGCCCGUAAUUCAAGAGUUUUUAGUUAUGUUUCCUACUGACUUCCAGUUGUUCCUCUGGACGGGGAUGUUGAUUAUUCUAUUGACUUGAGCCGUGCACCAAGCCCAUCUUUAUUCCUCAUUAUUGUAUGGCUCAAGCUGAGUUGAAGGAAUUGAAGGACCAGUUUCAGGAUUUGUUGAGUAAGUGGUUUAUUCACCCUAGUGUUUCUCCGUGGGGUGAUCUUUUGUUGUUUGUGAGGAAGAAGGAUGGAACCAUGAGGAUGUGUAUUCAUUAUCGACAGUUGAACAAAGUGACCAUGAAGAGUAAGUAUCCUCUUCUUCGUAUUGAUGACUCGUUUGAUCAGCUUCAAGGUGCAUCUCUAUUUUUAAGAUUGAUUUGAGGUCCGGUUAUCACAAGCUGAAGAUGAGGACAUCGGAUAUCCCUAAAAGAGCUUUUGGGAUUCCUUAUGUGCACUAUGAGUUUCUUGUGAUGUCUUUUGAGUUGACUGGUGCUCCUGCAGCAUUCAUAGAGUUGAUGAACGGGGUAUCCCGACCUUAUCUUGAUUUCUUUGUGAUAGUGUUCAUUGACGACAUCAUGGUGUACUCCAAUAUUGAGAAGGAUCACUAUAUACAUUUGAGGAUUGUACUCCAGCGACUAAGGAAAAAGAAGCUUUAUUCCAAGUUCUCAAAGUGCAAGUUUUGGUGUGAUUUUAUGGCAUUUCUAGGACAUGUGGUAUCCAAGGAGGGUAUUCAGGUGGAUCCAACCAAUAGUGAGGCAGUUUGAGGAUAGACCAUACUGACGUCAGUUACUAAGAUUCUGAGUUUUGUUGGACUUGCAGGUUAUUACAGACAAUUGGUUUAGAGUUUCUCCACUAAUACAUCUUCUUUGACCAGAUUGACUUGACAGAGUGUGAUCUUCUGGUGAUCUAAUGAAUGUGAGGAGAGCUUUCAAAAGCUCAAGACCUUUUUGACUUCAACUCUUGUUUUGACCUUACUCGAGGAGGGUGUAGUUUUAACUAUUUAUUGUGAUGCUUCUGGAGUGGGGUUAGGUGGUGUUUUGAUGUAGAAAGGUAAGGUGAUCGCCUAUGCUUCUUGGCAGUUGAUGACCCAUGAGAAGAAUUAUUGUACCCAUGAUUUAGAGUUGGCAGUCGUAGUGUUUGUGUUUAAGCUUUGGCGUCAUUAUCUGUAUGGAGUUCAUUGUGAAGUCUUCACGAAUCAUCGGAGUCUUUAGUAUAUCUUUAGUCAGAGGGAAAUGAAUUUGAGGUAGUGCAGAUUUCUUGAGUUACUAAAGGACUGCGAUAUCACCAUCUUGUUUCAUCCAAGGAAGGCCAAUGUAGAGGCCGAUGUUUUGAGUAGGAAUACAUCUAACAUAGAGAUUCUUUCUGCUAUUAGUGUGAAGGAGAAACCAUUGGCUAGAGAUGUUUAGAGAUUAGCCGACAGUCUCGUCUGAUUACAGAUUUCUUAAGAGACAAGUGGUUUGAUUAUUUUUAUAGAGUUUUAUUCUUGCUUAGUUGAGCAGAUGUAUGAGCAUCAAUUUGAUCGAGAACAUAGGUCUUAUUCGAGACAAGGUGAUGAGGGGGAAGCCAAGUAGGUUGUCCUUGACUCAGAGGGUGUCUUGACAAUUGGGGUUAGGAUCUAUGUGCCUAAGGUGGGCGAGUUGAUUAGAUUGAUUCUUGAGGAAGUCCAUUGUUCCCGAUAUUACAUCCAUUUAUCGGCGGCAAAGGUGUAUCACGACAUGAGCCAGAACUAUUGGUGGGGUGGGAUGAAGAGGUAUAAUUAUGAUUUUGUUUCGAGGUGCCUGACUUGCUAACAGGUCAAGUAUGAGCAUCGACAUCUCCGAUGUAUAUCUUAGAGGAUGCAUAUUCCUAACAGGAGGUGAAAAUGGAUCACUAUAGAUCUUUUUGUGGGUUGACCUACCAUUGUGGGUGGUUAUGACUCCAUCUGGGUGGUUUCCAAGUCCACCUAUUUCAUCCUGGUUUGGGUGAAGUAUACGAUGGAGAAGUUAGCGAGCCUUAUAUCAGUCAGAUUGUGCGACUACAUGGAGCCCCUAUUUUUAUUGUCUCUGAUCGAGGUUCUUUGUUCAUUUCCCAUUUCUAGAAGGCAUUACAGCUUGGCGUGGGUAAUCAUUUAGAUAUAAGUACAACCAUCCAUCCUCAAAUAGACAAUUUGUCAGAGCGGAUGAUUCAGGUGUUGGAGAACAUGCUUCAAGCUUGUGUGAUUUAUUUUGGUGCAAAUUGGGUUCGACAUUUUCCCUUAGCGAGUUUGAUUACAACAAUAGUUACCAUUCUAGCAUUCAAAUGACCCUAUUUGAGGCGUUGUAUGUCGUACGGUAUAAAUCUGCGAUCGGACGGUUUGUUUUAGCUAAGUUGGAUUCAUUAAACUUUCUUACAUAUGCUAUGGAGAAGGUUCUUAUGACCCAAGGUAGACUUUUGAUAGCCUAGAGUUGACAUAAGAGUUGUGCAGAUCGGAGAGUUAGAGCACUAGUGUUCAUGAAGGGUGAUUAGGUUUUGCUAUGAGUGUCGCCCAUAAAGGGUAUGAUGAGGUUCGUAAAGAAGGGAAAGAUUAGCCCUAAAUUUAUUGGACCUUUUGAUGUUUUAUUCGUAUGGAAGAGGUGGCCUAUAAGCUGGCCUUCCCACCUAACUUGUCAGUUAUGCAUCAUAUCUCUAUGCUUUAAGAGUACGUGGCGGAUGAGUCCUAUGUACUUUCUCUCGAUUCAAUUGAGUUGGGUCCAAAUUUAUCUUUUAAGGAGGAGCCUAUAGCCAUUUUGGAUAGGUAGGUCUGAAAGCUUAGAACCAAGGAGAUUGCUUCACUGAAGGUGCAGUGGAAGCACCGUUUAGUUGGUCAGGUGACUUGGUAGACAAAUUCAAAUAUGCAUGCCAGAUAUCCACAGUUUUUGGAAGCUUUAGGUACUUUCUUUUACUUUAUAUUCAAGGAAGAGCAUGUUUUUUAGUGGUGGAUGAUGCAAUGACAUGGUUGUUCAUUUUUGGAAAGUUUCAUAAAUUUAACGUUUUUCCCUCUUGAUAUCAACCCUGAGUCGUUUAUGAUUAAGUUUUGAUAGUUUGUUUUGAACAUUUAGUUUAAAGUUGAUAUUUUGGUAAAAUUUGAGUUUGAAAGGCUUAUAUUGUUAAGAAAGUGGCUUUUGAUGUCUAUUGAAUUAUUAAGGGUUAAAUGGAAUUAUGUCGAUUCCAUUAGCCCCAGGAUGUAGAAUAUGGUUAGUGAGAGUUGUCGAUUUCAGAUUCGACAUAUUGAGGAUUUGAGAUCCUAAGUUGGCAUAUUGUGAAAAUUUAUCCUUUUAGUUGACUUUGGUCAACAUUCAAGUUUCAGAUGCUCAUAUCAGAAUACUGAGAGUUUCAUCGGAUUCAGGGGAUGAUUUUAGGCUUAAGUGAGGUCUUGUUUGAAUUUAGAGAGGUCAUGAGCUUGUCUUAAGCCUUUUUAGGCGUUAUGUUAGUUUCUUGUAGUUCUCGCAAAUGUCAAGUGAAGGAGACCUCGGAUUAGUGUUUCAAUGGUUCCAUUGAGUCUAGAACAUCAAUUAUUAUUAAUUUGAAUAUGUGGUUUGUGUGUAUAGGGUUCAAAAUGAAUCCCGAGGGACCUUUCGAUAAUUUAUGAGUUGGUUGUGUUUGUUGGUGUCUGCAGGCCUUGCUUUUCGAAGAAAAUGCGCUUAAGAGACCUUCGCAGAAGCGAGAUCCUCUUUGCCUUAUCUACCUUCACAAAGGUGAAGAAUUCUUCGGUUUUUCAGAGGCACUAUUUUGCGGGGUUCUAUUUUGCAUCAUUAGAGAGGGGUUUUGACAUGCAAAUUUUGGGAUUUCAACCGCAUUUUGAAUUUUUGAGCUUGGUAUACCCUUUGAUGCGAUCUUUGAAAGGAUUUCUUGUGCUAAAUCAUUUAGGUAAGCUUUUGUGAUCCUAAAACUUCAUUUCCUUUUGAUUAUUUAUGGAUUUUAACAUCAGAAUUUGGGAUUUUGAUUGGUAAAUGGAAGGUUUUUCUAGAACUCAAGUUCUAAACUAAAAUGGAGAUUGUGAAUUGAUCUUGAGUUCUCUUUCAAAAUGGUUUUCACUAAUAAGUUCUCAAGGUCUUGAGUAAUAUUUUCAGGUAUUGAAUUUCGGAUUCAAACCUCAUUUUUGGAAUUGUGUUUUUGGUUGAUUGACCCAUUUUUCAAGUAUAUGUGUUAGGUAUUGUUGUUUCCGAAUAUUUAUUAUGAAUACUUAAUUGAAAUAGAUUGUGUGUCUUUGGACAUUGAUCGAAAGGGAAAGACUCAAGUUUUGGAGUGACUAGUUGAUUGAUUUAAGAUAAGUGAUCUCCUAAACCUUGUAAUAUAGUAGAAUUUGUGUAUUCCCUUCGUUGUUGUUUGUUGGGAGUAAUGGGAAUGAGGUGAGGGAUUCAUUGUUCAACUUGAUCAAGCUUAAAGAAUAAAUUUGUUGAUCAUGAUGCUUGUGAUGGCAUUGAUUGAUGAAAUGCUUGAUAGCAUGAAUGUUGACUUGAAUUGCUUGAAUUAUUAUCUCUUCCUUAUGGUGUGAACUUUCUUAUGUGCAUUGAUUAAUGUACACUGUGUGUCUCGAUAAAGCCGAUGGGAAAUGGUUCCAGGUAGUGAAUAUAAAGUUUAUGGGAAUGGUUAUGGAUAGUGAUAUGAUAUAAAACUGAUGGGAAAGGGUUUCGGCUAGUGAUUUGAUAUAAAGCCGAUGACAAUUGGUUCUAGCUAGUGAAACGAUAUAAAGCCGAUGGAAAAUUGUUCAGAUUAGUGAUUUGCAAUAAAGUCGAUGGGAAAUGGUUCUGACUAGUGAUAUUGUACCGAUGGGAAAUGGUUCGGGCAAGAGACUAAUUAUUGUGAUUUGAUGAAUUUUGAUGUUUAUGUUCGACUUACUUGUUAACUUAGAUUGAUGCUCGUGAUACUUGUGAUUGAGCUUUUUGACAUUGAGAUUGACUUACUUGAUUCGUGUUGAUUGUUGGAUUGUGAUAAUUGGACUGUGAUUAUUGAGCCGUGCGAGUUGUGUAUUGUAGAACUGUUAGGUUAGGCUAAUUUUUGUGCAGGUUGUAGGUGUAGGAGGUUCAGUUGGGAUGAAAAGACUAUUUGAUUUCUAGCUUGUUGCCUUGUUUAUUAGGUUGUUUUUAGGUAUCGAGGCUUGUUGAAGGACUUGAGAGGUAGUUGUUUGUCAACCUGGCGGGCCCUCUUUUUCCUUUUCUCUAUACUUUGUUCUAUUUGAAAGACAAAGACUUGAGACUUGUACUUAUUUCUUAAUUCUGCACUUUAUGUAUUAGUGGAUUGUACAUGUGACAACCGGGUUUUGGGGUGUUAAUAGAAUGAAUAAGUUUUUCAACUUUUAUCUUGUUCUUGCUUUAUCUUUCGGUAUUUCUUUCUUUUCAUUGAGUUGAGGCUGACUUCUCUUGGUGGGAAUAGACAAGUGUAACACCUUGGAUUUGAAAAAUAAGGAAAAUAAAAAAAAUUGGGCUAAAGUUUAUGUCAAUGGGUCCCCCAUCUACUGACUAAAGAAGCUUCUACAUGUUGUAGAUGGCAACCAUAGGAAGUGGGAAAAUAAUUUUCUAAAAAUCAAGUCUCAUUACCCUUUUUACGAUUCACUAGGACGGUCCGUCAACCAUUGUAAAGGGUAAAAUUGGGAUCUACGAUUGGCAUCAACGGAUCGUAGGAAGGACUACGCGUCGUACAUGGGAUCCAUCAAAAGUUGGUCCAAGUAAUGGUUUCUAAACUUAUCUACGGUCAACUACUAUGGAUUGUAGAAAGACCUACAGACCGUAGGUCCAAACCGUAGGUGAGGCUUGACAAUUAUUUAUAAAGGGAUUUUGUCUCUUUUCCUAAUUGUUUUAACCUAAAACGAUGUCGUUUUGCCUUGUACCCUAAGCCCUAUAUAAACGUUUUAAGUCCCCAAUUUACCCAUUUCAACUCAUUCUCCUAAAUCUCCUAAACUUGACCAAAUUCAUCCUCCCAAUUCUCUCAAGUCUAAGGAAGAAGAAGAAGACCUACAUUCUAUUCAAAUCUCCAAAUUUUCCAUUUUCUUGGGCUUAAAAGAUCAAGGUAUGAGUGUAUUCACCCAUGGAAUCCCUUUCUCCAUAGGGUCCCAAGGAUUUUAAUUUCCCUAUUAUAUUUUCAAUUGAUCAAAUUAGGGUUUCAAUUCAAUGAAUGUGGGUUUCAUCUAAUUAUGAUUGAUUUUCGUUAAUUAGGUAUUCUAAUGCAUGAAUUGAUGUUAAUCCAAGAUAUUUAGUUGAAAUUCCACUAACGCUGCCUAAAUUUUAUUUUUCAACUAUGAUCUAUGAUGAACUCAUGAACUAUGAAUUAUGAGUAUAUGAAGAUAUGCAUGUUUUUAUGAGGUUAUUGUAAAUGAAUUGAUGAUGCUUUGAAAGGAAAGUAUUGAUGCUAUGGUGAAAAGAUUUCUCAAUUACUAUGAAAAUCAUGAUUGUGAAAGGUAAUUCUCACAAAUGAAUUCACAUUGGUGAAAGGUGUACUCAUCUAUGUUGAACUAUGUUUAAGGAGCUAUUCUAUAUUUUGAUCUUAUAAGUUGUGGAUUGGUAUUGAUUGUUUCCUUUCCCUAUGUUAAAUUGAUAUUUCACUUUUAUCUAUUCCUUUGAGAUUUAGACUUAGCACUGAGAGGUCUUUGAUGUGGAGGCUCAAAUAGGGUAGUCACAAGUAGCAAUCUCUAGUCCCAAACUAUGUGCCUCCAUAGUAUGUCUUAAACGACCUAGCUAGUGGAUCCACUUUAGCAAAUGAUGAUAUGUACGGAUUCUACCUUGGCAAGUAGUUUCCCCUUCUUUCAGUAUGAGGGAUAUACCAUAUUCCAUGAUAUAGCUCUCAUCAUCUUAUUGUCGGUUAAAUCUAAGAUCCCACAAAAUGACUAUAUUUUUCUUCUUUAUUGUCGGAUAUACCUUUAUGUUAAUCUAUUUGACUAUGUUUUAUGAUCUUCACGUCAUUUCUUCUCUAAAAGAUUUUAAAUGUUUCAUUAUGAUCAUGCCUAUUCAUUUUAAGUCAUUCAUGAUAUCAUGCCUAUAUUUAUGCAUAUUGCCUUAUACUUAGUACAUUUCAUGUACUAAUGCAGAUUUGUGCCUACAUUGUUUCACUAUGUAGGGUCUGACGCUCCAACCUCCUAUACUAGUGGCUAGUUAUCCUUCAUAGAUUUGAAGAUUGGUGAGUCCCCUUGUUCCAAGGAUCGAGACUCCUUUAUUGUUUUAUGUCAUUUUUGUUUCCAACUUUGUAUGUGAUGUAUGGGUUACAUCCCAAUCACUUUACGAUGUAUUAGAUGGCUUUGAGACUUAUGUUAGACUUCCGCUAAUUUUCAAACUCUCUUUAUGUAUAAAUGCUAUUAUUAAAAGAUUUUACUUCUAUUAUCUUGUAUGAUGUAUGCUAAGUGACUUGUACAGGGCCUCUCGGGGUUCUAUACGUCAUGUUACGCCUAGGGUAUAUUUUGGGUUGUGACAAACUUGGUAUCCAAAGCAUAAGGUUUAGAAGGUCCUACGAUGUCUCGUAAGCCACAUCAAGUAGAGUAUUGUUCAUGAGUGUGAAGCACGCCACAUUUAUGCGAAGAAAGCUAUAAGAUUUUUAAGAAAUUCUACUUCUUUCAUCAUUCUAAAUUCGUGUGAUAGAGUUUAACUCUAUAUGUCUCUCUUUUCUAAACCUUAUCCAAUACUUUUCAAGAUAUAACCCCUGGAAAAGAAUACAUUAAAAGGAAUGCGGGUGAAAAUGUGGAAUGAAAAGCUCCACAGGUUUCGGCCGACCCUUUGGCUGAACAAGUGACUAAUACAGAGUUUAGGGAUGCUCUUCAAGUGUUGGCUCAAACCAUGACAGCUUAAGACAAUAGGGAGGCUGUGGUCCCGUGAACCCAAAUAUGGAUAUGGCGGCAACUAGAGUAAGGGACUUCACUAGGAUGAAUCCACCGGAGUUUCAUGGUUCUAAGGUUGAGGAAGAUCCUCAAGAGUUUAUUGAUGAGGUAUACAAGGUGCUCAUGAUCAUAGGAAUGACACUGGUGGAAAAGAUGGAAUCGUCCUCUUACCAACUUAAGGGUGUUGCUCAAGUUUAGUUCAACCAAUGGAAGGAAAAGAGGAGGUUGAUGUGGGUCCUCUUGAUUGGAAAAAGUUACGGUCACUUUUCUUGAUAGGUUUUUCCCCUUGAGAUGAGGGAAGGUACUUAAAUUCAUAAACCUUCGUCAAGGUAAUAUGAGUGUGAAGGAGUUACAAUUGUUUAGGUAUGCUCCUACUAUGGUUGUUGAUCCUAGGGCAAGGAUGAGCAAGUUUGUUUCGGGAGUGUCUGAGAUGGUAGUAAAAAAUAUUGUAACGUCAUGCUCAUUAUUGAAAUGGACAUCUCUUAUCUAAUGAUUCAUGAUCAACAAAAGGAAGAGGAGAAACUUAAGAAAAGGUUUAGGGAGGCAAAGAGAGCAAAUACCGAUGAUGGUGACUUUCCACAUUCAACGUCCGAUGGACAUGGUCAUUCUAAGUUCCAACAAAGGUUCUCCGGUUAAGGUUCCUCCAAUGAUCUGUCUCCUAAGUUCAAAAAGUAAAGGGUGUCUAACCCUAAGCCUCAAGGAGGAAAUGGUGGUGGAAAUGGUUCUUCGAUUCCUGCAUGCCAAAGGUAUGGCAAGAGUCAUCCAGGAAAAUGCUUGAUGGUUGCGGAUAAUUGCUUUGGUUGUGGUAAGUGUGGUCACCUCUUGAGGGAUUUCCUAUCUAGAAAUGAAAACGAAAUUGAUGGUAGGCAAGCUCCGCCAAGUGGUUCGGGUUCAAGUGCUCUAAAGUAAAACUGAUUUUAUCCACUUCAAACUCGUCAUGAUCUAGAGGGUUCCCCCGAUAUGGUUAUCGGUAUGUUGAAAUUAUUUCAUCUUGAUGGUUAUACUUUACUUGAUCCCGGAGCUACAUUGUCUUUUGUGACACCAUAUAUGGCUAUGAGGUUUGAUGUUCUCCCGAAUGUGUUGAUAUACUCUUUUUCUGUCUCUACACCUAUUGGUGAAUCUAUUGUAGCUAAAAGAGUCAAUAGAAAUUGUCCCGUCUCCUUACCCCAUAGAGUCACUCAUGUUGAUCUUGUGGGGCAUGAUAUGUUAGAUUUCAAUGUUAUUCUUGGUAUGGAUUGGCUCCAUUCUUGUUAUGCUUAUGUUGAUUGUAGAACCCGAGUGGUCAAGUUUCAAUUUCCAAAUGGACCCGUCCUAGAGUGGAAAGGGGGAAUUUUUUUUUGUCUGAGGGUCAGUUUGUUUAUUGUCUUAAAGCUAGAGACAUGAUUUCUAAGUGUUUCAUAUACCAUCUUGUUGGGGUUAGGGAUAUGGAUUCUGAAACCCCUAUCUUUGAGUCGGUCUCUCUUGUUAAUGAGUUUCCAGAAGUAUUUCCCGAUGAUUUACCUGGUGUUUCUCCCGAAAGGGAAAUAGACUUUUGUAUUGACCUUCUCUCAGAUACGCAACCUAUCUUUAUUCCUCCUUACCGAAAGGGUCCGACAAAACUUAAGGAGUUAAAGGAACAAUUGAAAGACUUGUUGGAAAAGGGUUUCAUCCGACUAAGUAUCUCUCUAUGGGAGCUCCAGUUUUGUUUGUUCAAAAGAAAGAUGGUUCACUUCACAUGUUUAUUGAAUAUCGUCAAUUGAAUAAGGUUGCCAUUAAUAAUAAGUAUUAUCUUCCAAGAAUAGAUGACUUGUUUGAUAAACUUCAAGGAACGAGUUAUCUCUCUAAGAUCGACCUCCGGUCGGGUUAUCACCAAUUGAAGGUGAAGAAAAAUGAUAUUCUACAGAUGGCUUUUCAAACUCGGCAUGGUCAUUAUGAGUUUUUCAGAAUGUCAUUUGGUUUGACUAAUGCUCCGGCCACAUUUAUGGAUUUGAUGAAUAGAGUGUUUUGACAAUAUCUUGACAUGUUUGUGAUUGUGUUUAUCGAUGACAUUUGAUCUACUCAAGGAGUGAGGACGAGCACACCAAUCAUUUGAGGAUUAUGUUGCAAGUCCUCAGGGACCAACAACUCUUUGCAAAGUUUAGUAAAUGUGAGUUUUGGUUGAGGUUCGUGGCUUUUCUUGGUCACAUUGUUUUCGGUGAGAGUAUAGAGGUAGAUCCUAAGAAGACGGAUGUGGUUAAGAGUUGGCGUGGAACUCUAUCCCCUUCGAAUAUUCAAAGUUUAUUGGGCUUAGCUGGUUAUUACAGAAGGUUUAUGGAAGGGUUUUUUUUAUUACCUCUCCAUUGACGACAUUGACCCAAAAGAAAGUUAAGUUUGUAUGGUCUGAAGUGUGCGAGAAGAUUUUCCAAGAAUUGAAAGAUAGACUAACCUCCGCUUCGAUGUUGACUUUACCGGAAGCAUCUAAUGGGUUUGUUGUUUAUUUUGAUGCUUCAAGGAUUGGACUAGGGUGUGUCCUUAUGCAAAAUGGAAAGGUUAUUGCUUAUGCUUCACGACAACUUAAGUGUCAUGUCCCAAGGGUACCCCUUAGACGUAACAAGGCACAUAGAACCCCCAAAGGCUCCAUGUAAGCCACUUAGCAUAUCAUAACAUAAGCAUAGAACAAUAAAGAGUAAAAAUGCAUUUCAAGUCUAAAAUUUUCAUAAAGGAAAGCAGAAGUCUAGACUUGUCUCAAUAUAGUCAUCUACUAUAAUACUCGAAUCAAAUUGGGCCUAGCCCAUACAACAUGUCCGAAAAUAGAAAUAUGCUAAAAUAAACUACAAAGAUAGCAUCCGUCUUCGAAUCAUGAGGACUCACCCACAAGCAAGGAUAAAUGAUCAAUUCCAAGCUCUAGCCACGAUGGGGACCACCUUGAGAACCGGACCCUACACUUGGGGAAAAUGUAAGAAAAUAUGAGUUAGUACAAAAAUGCACUAAGUAUGGUAGCCAUGCGUAAAAAUCAUGAAAACAUGCUAAAAGGGACAUUUUAGUUGAAUGCAUGCAAUUUACUAAGUUAAAGCAACAUUUUGAAGAUAAUGGAAAAAUAUAAGUCAUAAGCAUAUUCAUCACAAACAUCAUCACAUUAUAAGAGAACCAUACGAUAAGUACCCUCAAAGCAUACUUGUGCAAUGCAUGAAUAAGAUCCCAUAAUCCCACCCAUGCUAAGUAAAACUUCUUGAGUAACCAUAGUUCAUAAUUCAUAUUCUUGUUCAUAAUGGGAAUAAGCCUUAACCGACAUAGACCGUGUGAGCUUAACAUGGAAUCUGGUGUUACCCACACCGAAAAGGGUUGUCCUACUUUCCUAAGGUAAGACUAUCAUUUGUUAGCUUUUAGGUGGAUACAUUAGCUAAAUAUCCUACGGGGGCACGUAGUUUAUGGGAUAAGGAGAUUGUUACUAGAAACCCCAACCUUUCUUAAUGGGGGAGCUUCUAUUUCAUGAGAUUGCUUCUAGAAACCCAGCCUUACUUAACGGGAGAGCUUCCAUCUCAUAUUCAAUAUCCACUUGGUGCUAAGCAUAAUUACCAUGGAGUACUUAUUAAGCCCUAAUUUGUUUCAUUAGGAUAGCUUAUUAGAUCAUGUGUGAGAAUAACCUUUCACCGUCAAUCUCUACAUACUACUUUAGAUUCAAUUAGGUAAGAAUUGUCUUUCAACCUAGAAUCUCCAUUAUGUGAGAAAACCUAUAACAUUAUGUUAAUUAUGUGUUCAUGAGAAUAGUCUUUCAAUCAACACAACAACAUCAUCAUAAUCAUGAACACUUCACACUCAAAGUGUUCUUAAAGCAUACACAUACAUCUCAUAAUCAUGCAUAACUCUCAUACUUUGCCCUUAAAGGACCAUAGAUCAUAUUCAACCCACACAUCUAGAAUUACUACAUUAGAUAUGGAUAUAAUCAUAAUUCAAAUAACCCAACUAGCACAAGCAUAAUCUCAUAAUAUUCUUCUAUAAUCAACAAACCCACAUCACAAGAUCAUACUUGAGGAAUAUGGGGAUUUCAUGGGUUCUUGGGGAUUUCAACAUAAAAACCAUCAUAAAUCAUCAAUUCAAUCAUAAUAUAAAGUAAUUCCAACAUUAGAAUCAUUUUUGAAAGGAAUCCAUGACUUGGAGACAAACCCUAGCUUUUGGGGAAUUUCUAUCUUCAAAAUUGGGGUUUUGAAGGGACGCCAUGGAUGAAUAACUACCAUACCUUAGCAAUGGAAUCCAAUGAAAUUGAGUAGAAAAACUUGUUCCUUGAACCCUAGCUCCAAUUUCCUUCUUAUUCCUUGAAGUUCUAGAGAGAGAUUUUUGUAGAAAAGGUGAAUUUUUGGGAAUUAUUUGGAUGUUUGGGAAAAAUGACAUAGUUUUGGUGAAUUUGACUUUAAAAUGACUUAUAUAUUGACCCUAAACUUACCCAAAAUGACUUCACUUUGAUAGGACUUAAAACGGAAGUUCCUAAAAUAACCCUCACUUAAAGUGAGCUGCUAGGGACCACGUGGGGAUCCAUGAGCCGUGGUCCCAUCCGUGGUCUUGAGGCAAUAGCUAGGCAGAUUGUGCCUUUAGCUCACAAGCCCAAGGCAUCUUCAUGAGGGGCACCACAAGCCGUGGAGCAAGCCACGAGUCGUGGUCCCUCUCGUGGGCCUUGAGGCAGUGGCUUGCCACUUUCCUCACCAUGCUCACACCACCAAGGCAUGACCGAAGGCCACUCCCACGAGCCGUCUAAGGCUUCACGAGCUGUGAAGUGGCUCAUGUGGAGGGGUCAACUUGAGGCAGCCUUAAGGAGGCUACUACCUCCACCUUCACGAGUGGCACCACGACUCGUGGUGACCACCACUAGUCGUGAAGACCCUCGUGGUCUUGGGGCAGUGCCUUGGCAAGGCUUGGGCAUCCUUGGCCCUUGGUUCUUGCCCUUCUUCCUUGACUCUAACCUUAACGUUCAUCUCUAGUUUAGCCAACUAGUUUCUGGGGUGUUACAUUAUGAUUCUUGAAAGGAACUAUCCUACCAAUGAUUUGGAACUAGCGGCGGUUGUUUUUGCCUUAAAGAUUUGGAGACAUUGCUUAUAUGGUGUUCAUGUUUAUGUCUUUAUCGGUGACAAAAGUUUGAAAUAUGUGUUCAAGCAAAAGGAUUUUAAUCUUCAUUAAAGGAGGUGGCUUGAGUUACUAAAGUAUUAUGACAUGAGUGUCCUCUAUCACCCCGGCAAGGAAAAUGUGGUAGUAGAUGUUCUUAAUCAGUUAUCAAUGGGUAGUGUUGCUCAUAUUGAGGAUGAUAAAAAUGAGUUAGUUUGAUAUGUUCAUAGAUUGGCCCGAUUGGGUGUUCGGUUGGUUGACUCCACCAAAGGCGGUGUUAUGGUUCAUAAUUGUCUUUUGUGUUAGAUCUGAAAGCCAAGCAAGGUCUUGAUUCGACUUUUGUUGAAUUGAAGGAGGCAGUGCUUAAGAAGCUUGUUGAGGCUUUCUCCCAAGAGGGAGAUGGUGUUCUUCGGUAUGAGGGUUGUUUGUAUGUUCCCAAUGUUGAUGAUUUAAGGGAGAAUAUUUUAUCGGAAGCCCAUAGUUAUUGAUAUUCCAUUCACCAAGGAGCUACCAAGAUGUAUUGUGACUUGCGGGAGGUCUAUUAGUGGAGUGGGAUGAAGAGGGAUGUUGUGGAAUUUGUGGCUAAGUGUCCUAAUUAUCAACAAGUGAAAUUUGAACAUCAAAUGCUGGGAGGUUUGUCCCAAUAUAUUAGUAUUCCUACUUGGAAGUGGGAAGAUUUGAAUAUGGACUUUAUUGUUGGUUUACCCCGCACCCGGCGACAACAUGACUCGAUUUGGGUUAUUGUGUAUUGUAUGAUGAAAUCGGCUCAUUUCAUUCCCAUCAAGGUUUCUUAUUCAACGGAGGUCUAUGCGAAGUUAUACUUGAGGGAAAUGGUUAGGUUGCAUGGAGUGCCCCUAUUCAUUACCUCCGAUUGUGGUACCUAAUUAACUUCUCAAUUUUAUAAGUCUUUCCAAAAGAGUCUUGGUACUUGUGUUAAGCUUAGUACAACCUUUCAUCCUCAAACUGAUGGGCAAGCAGAGAAUAUUAUCCAAACUUUGGAAGAUAUGUUGAGAGCGUGUGCGAUUGACUUCAAGGGAAAUUGGGAUGAUCAUUUACCCUUGAUUGAAUUUGCAUACAAUAAUAGCUAUCAUUCAAACAUUGGUAUGACUCCAUUUGAGGCUCUUUAUGGUAGGAAGUGUAGAUCUCCUAUAUGUUGGUUUGAAGUGUGUGACAUUUCUUUUAUAUGUCAUGAAUUAAUACAUGAGGCUAUGAAGAAAGUUUGUCUUAUUAGAAAGAGUUUGAAAACGGCUCAAAGUCGACAAAAGUCCUAUGCCGAUAGUAGAAGGAGAGACCUUGAGUUUGAUGUACAUGAUUGGGUCUACUUUAAUAUUUCACCCAUGAAGGGUUUAAUGAAGUUUGGAAAGGAAGAGAAGCUUAGUCUCCACUAUGUGGGCCCAUAUCAUAUUUUGAGGCGUAUUACGUAUUGGUCUUUACUUACAUACUUGAUUCGCCUAAUGACUUAGCAUCGGUACAUCCAGUUUACCAAGUCUCCUUGUUGAAGAUAUGUGUUGGUGAUCCAACAUAUAUUGUACCAUUGGAGAGUCUUGGUAUAAAAGAGGGUCUUUCUUAUGAAGAGGUUUUAGUUGAGAUUUUGGACCGGCAAGUUAAGAAGUUAAGAAAAAAGAAAGUUGCAUCCGUGAAAGUCUUAUGGAGGAAUCAAAGAGUUGAGGGUGCUACUUGGAGGCCCAAACUGAUAUGAUGUCCCGUUAUCCCCAUCUCUUUCCCUCUAAUCCUACUCUAGCUAGAGGUAUUUAGUUCAUCAUGGUCCAUCCUCAUGUCUUAGUCAUUCUCAUGUUUCCUCAUGCAAGCAUGCUCGUGAAAACUUGUUUUUGAAAUCCUUAUGUAGCUUUGAUUGAUUUCUUCAUGAUUAUGUGUAUUUGAGUAUGACUUGAAGCGAUACCUUAUGAAAUGAUGUUUUGAAUAUGUUUAAACUAGGAGUUGAUGUUUCUCCUUGAUUAUGUGUUGUUGAUGAAGGUAAAUUCUUGUCAGUCUGUUAGAUUUACUCCCCUACUAUCCUUGUGUUGCCUUGAGUUCCAUUCGAGGACGAAUGUUCCCAAAGGGGAGAUAUUGAAACACCUCGGAUUUGGAAAAGGAAAAUAAAAAUAUUUGGGCUGAAGUUUGUGUCUACGGGUCCUCAUCUAUGGAUUGUAAAAUCUUCUACGGGUCGUACAAGGCAAUUGUAAGAAUGGGAAAAUAAAAUUCUAAAAACCAAGUCCCAAUACCCUUUUUACAGUUUACCAGGAUGAUCCUUUAACCAUUGUACGAGUCGUAGAUAGGUCUCGUAGAUCACUUCUAGCCUUAUUAAAAUAUUAAGGGGUAAAGUUGGGUUCUACAGAUGGCAUGUAUGGACCGUAAGAAGAUCUACGAGUCGUACAUGGGUUCCAUCAAAAGGUUGUCCAAAUAAUGGUUUCUGAACUUAUCUAUGGUCGACCAGUAUGGACCGUAGAAAGACCUACGGACUAUAGGUCCAAACUGUAGGUGAGGCCCGACAGUUAUUCUUAAAGGGCCUUUAGGUUGUUUCCUAAUUUUUUAACCUAAAACUAUGUCGUUUUGCCUUCUACCCUAAGCCCUAUAUAAACAUUUUAAGCCCCCAAUUUACCCAUUUCAACUCAUUCACCAAAAUUACCUAAACAUGACCAAAUUCAUCCUCCCAAUUCUCUCAAGUCUAAGGAAGAAGAAGAUCUAGGGUUCCAUUCAAGUCUCCAAAUUCUCCAUUUUCUUGAAGUUAAAGGAUCAAGGUAUGUUUGUAUUAACCCAUGGAGUCUUUUCCUCCAUGUGGUCCCAAGGAUUUCAAUUUCCCAAUUUUAUUUUUAAUUGAUCAAAUUAGGGUUUCAAUUCAAUGAAUGUGGGUUUCAUCUAAUUAUGAUUGAUUUUGGUUAAUUAGGUAUUCUCAUGCAUGAAUUGAUGUUAAUCCAUGAUAUUUAAUUGAAAUUCCAUUGACCCAUGCCUAAAUUAUGUUUUUCAACUAUGAUCUUAUGAUGAACCCAUGAACUGUGAAUUAUGAGUUUAUGAAGAUAUGCAUGUUUUAUGAUGUUAUAGUGAAUGAAUUGAUGAUGCUUUGAAAUGAAAGUAUUGAUGCUAUGGUGAAAGGAUUUAUCACUUACUAUGAUUAUCAUGAUUGUGAAGAUUUCUCACGAAUAAAUUCACAAUGGUGAAAGGUUCUCUCAUCUAUGUUGAAUUAUGUUUAAGGAGCUAUUCUAUGUUUUGAUCUUAAAACUUGUGGAGUGGUAUUGAUCAUAGUUUUUCCCUAUGUUAAAAGGAUAUUUUACUUUUAUCUAUUCCGUUGGGAUUUAGACUUAGUACUGAGAGGGCUUUGAGGUGGAGGCUCAAAUAGGGUAGUCUCUAGUAGCAACCUCUAGUCCCAAAAUAUGUUCCCCGUAGGAUGUCUUAAAUGACCUAGCUAGUGGAUCCACAUUAAAAAAUGAUGAUAUUAUUGAUUCUACCUUGGUAAGUAGUUUUUCCUUCUUUUCGUAUGAGGGAUAUACCAUAUUACAUGAUAUAGCUCUCAUGGUAUUAUUGUCGGUUAAAGCUAAGAUCCCACAAAAUGACUAUUUUUCUUCGGAACUUUUCUUAUGUCCUUUAUUUUAAUGUAUAUGACUAUGUUUUAUGAUCUUCACAUUAUUUCUUCUCUAUAAGGUUUUAAAUGUUUCAUUAUGAUCAUGCAUAAUCAUUUUAAGUCAUUCAUGCAAUCAUGCCUAUAUUUCUGCACAUUGUCUCAUACAUAGUACAUUCCAUGUACUAAUGCAUAUUUGUGCCUACAUUAUUUCAUUAAUGUUGGAUCCGACGCUCCUACCUCUCAUACUCGUGGCUAGUGAUCCUUCAUAGACUUUGAAGAUUGGUGAGUCCUCAUGUUCUGAGGACCAAGACUCCUUAAUUGCUUUAUGUCAUUUUCUUUCCAACUUUUUAUGUGAUUUAUGGGUUACAUCCCGAUCACUUUCAUUACGAUGUAUUAUACGUAUUUGAGACUUAUGUCAAAAUUCUACUUUUGCCAAACUCUCUUGAUGUAUAAAUUCUAUCUUUUAUAGCUUUUACUUCUAUUAUCUUGUAUGAUGUAUGAUAAGUAACUUGUGUAGGCCUCUUGAGAUUCUAUACGCCAUGUUACGCCUAGGGUAUACUUUGGGUCGUGACAACAAGUGUCAUCACAUCCAUUUUUGGGUCAUGACAGGUGCACUUUGUAGUUAUAGAUUAUCUAUAUAGCCUUUGCUAGUGGGAAGGUAGAACUAACAUACCGUUAUCAAUAUCCCUCGAGUAGUAAUAUACCAAUAUAAAUAUUUGACUCCUUUAUGAGGAGUUCACUGUUAUUGGUUACUUCUUAAAGAAGAAGGCCACAUUGAUUACAUGAUUCAUCCAUGGAAACCUUCCAAAUAUAAAAUUUGAUAUGAAAGUGUUUUUUUGAGUUUAUUUGUAAAAAUAUUCACACUGAUUUUUCUUAUGAGACAAAUAAUAUUGUGUUAUCAUUUUUGAAAGGGCAUUGAUUUCAUCAUUUUGAUUAUCGUACUAGUAUGUUUUUUUAUUUGUCCCUCGUUAAAAUGUUUGUGGUUAAGUUUAUUAUUGACUGAGCUAGUGUCUAAUUCCUCGCUAAAUGAUUUACGGAGAACUCAGGUGACAUUGGAGAAGAUUUCGUUAGUUAGAAAGUGUCACGAUCCAAAGUACACCCUGAACGUGACAUGGCGUACAAAACCCCGAAAGGCCCCAUACAAGCCACUUAGCAUACAUCAUACAAGAUUAUAAAGUUUGAAAGAUUUAAAACACAAUUUCAACAUAAAAAAGUUUUAUAGAGAAAAGUGGAAGUCUAAACAUCAUCUCAAAGACAUCUAGUACAUAAGAAUGAUCAGGGUGUAGCCCUUACAUCCAGUUCCAAAACUCAAAGUAAAGACAAAAGGGAAACCAAAGCUCGGUCCUCAAAAUAUGAGGACUCGCCAAUCUUCAAUCUUCUAUAUGAGAUACCUAGCCACGAAAGUGCGUAUUUGUAAGGCCGGUCUCUACAUUUGGGGAAAUGUAGGCAAGAGUAUGCAUUAAUACAAAAAUGCACUAAGUAUGAUAUCCAUGCAUAAAAGUAUGAAAAUGCUAAAAAGGACAUUUUUCGUGAUAUGCAAAUACCAAGUCAAAACAUAAGAUAAGAGGGUUAGAAAACAUAAUCAUUAUCAUGAUAAAUGCAAGUAAAAUCAUCUUUGAACACAUGUGAGAUACUUUAAAGGUAACCUUGAUUCAUUAUUGUGGGAAGUAGCCUUAACCGACAAAGAGACCAUGUGAGUUAUAACAUGGAACUCUGGUGUCUCCCACACCGAAAAAGGUUGUCCUACUUGUUGGGUAGAACCAUGAAUCUGAGCUAAAAUGGAUCCACUAUCUAAUGUAUAUCUAGACAAUCAUCCUAUGGAGGCACAUAGGUAAGGGAUAAGGAGAUUGCUACUAGAAACCCAACCUUAACUCGGGAGAGCUUCCAUCUCAAUAUUCUCUCGGUGCUAAGCAUAAAUCCCACAGAGUAAGUUAUUAAUCUUAACUUGUCUUAUGUUUAAAAUAUAUGGGUAGUAGCCACUUGUCUUAUCAUAGGACAUAUCCUUAGACCAUGAAUGAGAAUUUCGUUCACUGUCCAUGAUCUUUUAAUAAUAGCUUUUCAGGCCCAUAGUCAUUCACUUCAUGCUAGAGAUGCCCCUAAUACUAAUGGAAACAGUUUUGAAAUCGCGGUCUCUAAUAAUUGAUGGCAUAUCCGGACACCAUACUAAUCAAGACCUAAUUUAGGAAAGUAGCUCGAAAAGCAUUGAGGAAAAAUCUUGAUGUUAUUCAUGUCAUGUGGUCAAGCAUCAUAGAACAUAUAGACAGAAGCUUUCUUGAGUCAUAAACAUACUUUAAUGAACAUGCAUUCUUUUCAAUAAUUCAUAAGCUUUAUCAUAUUUUCAGAGUCAAAGCAUCUUCAAAUUCAUUUACAUCCAUUUCAUAAAGAGAAGACUUGCAUAUUUUCAUAAAUUCAUCUUUCAUAGUUUAAGACCCACAUUAUAUCAUCAUGGCUUAGAAAACAUGUAUUAUGCAUGGGUUAAUGGGAAUUCAUCUUAAAAAACAUGCAACUACUUCAUUUCAUGCAUCAAAGGUAAUAAAACAAUCAAUUGAACUAACAUUGUAAAGAACCCAUGACAAUUGAAGAAAACCCUAACUUGAUUGGAAAACCUAACUUUACAAAAUUAGAGAAUUUGGGAACUUCAUAGAGGAAAGGGCUCCAUGGAUGAAAACCAUCAUACUUCAAUGCCAAAAGCUUGACUUAAAUUGUGGAAUUGGGAGGCUUGAUCUUCAAACCCUAGAUUUCUUGUUCAACUUCUUGAGAGAGAAAUAUUUGAGAUGAGGAGUUUGAUAUUCUUUUGAGAAUUUGAGAGAAUGAAUUGAGUUUGGGUGAUUUGGGGGCUUAAAAUCAUUAUAUAAGACUUUGGGUUAAGGGUAAAAAUGACAUACUAUUAGGCUAGAAUAAUUAGGAAAAGACCCUAAGAAAAAUAACUCUCGACUCUACCAAUGGCCAGACUUAAGGUUCGUAGGUCCAACCACGGACCGUACUGGUCGACCGUUAGUGGAUUCAGAAACCACUAAAUGUGGACCCCAAACGAUGGACCAGACCUACGCUUUGUGGGUCCAUCGACGGACUGUGGACCACGAUCGUAGGUCCCAACUUUUACCUCAAAAUGCUUCUAAGUCUGGGACUCACCUACGAACCCUACCUACGGCUCGUACAUAGAACGACAGAUCAUCCCGGUGAACCAUCGACAAGUACUGAAACUUAUAAUUUUUGAUAACUUGGGCUAGCCAACCAUAGAGCUAAUCUACGGUCCGUGUAUCAGUCCACGGGCCGUAGGUGGCUCCAUCGGAACUGGCACCAUAUUUUCUGAAGGACUGAAAUUUCUCUAUUUCUGAAUCCAAGGUAUAACAAUAUCACCCCCUUGGGAACUUUCGUCCUCGAAUGAGAUUCAAGACGUCAUAAGAAAGGUCGAAACUUAAUCUAACAGCCCAUCAUGCAUGCAAUUUCAUAAAUGCACAUAUCCGAGGAGGAAAUAUCGACUCCAAGCUAAAGCAUAGUUUUAAAACAUCUUUUCAUAAUACAAACAUGCAAAAUCAUACUCAAUGCACAUAAUCAUGAGACAAUCAAUCAAGAUAAAUCAUAUCUUUGAAAAAAUCAAAUUUUUCAUGACCAUGCAUGCAUUAGGAAACAUGAGGAUGACUAAGACACAAGAAUCCUUAAAAGUGAACCAUGAGGGGCUAAGGCCUCAAGCUAGACUUGAAGAUAAAGGAAAGAGAUAAGGUUACUAAGAAGUCACAUCGCCUCCAAAAUUUCAUCCACCAAACCAUAACAAGGAACUCUUCCAAAACCAACAUAGUUCUACUCACGUACCAACCAUGAACCACACUAUCUCCUCCCCCGAGAGAGAACCGCACUAGUCUUUUCAAAUCAUCUCCCUCAAUCCCAAACAUAACACCAAAGUCUUAACAACCACUCAACCAUUGACACAAUAAACCAUUAAGAAGUUUCCACAAGGAUUUCAAGGACUACUUCAAACACAAUCACCAUACAUGGAGUCUUACCAUAUCUAACGAAGCACUCAAUAUCGAGCAAUACAUAACCACAAGUUAUAAGACCUUAACUUACCAAUUAACGCAUCUGGGGAACCCUCAUGAUCUUGUUGGGUCUGAAGAGCAUAGAACAUAUCUUGUUUCUCAUCAUCACUAGAACCUAAGGAAGGGUGGGGUUGAGACCGUCGACGAUUAUCUCCUUCAUUCCUAGCAGCCACAGGAUAAUUCCUUAUUUUAUAAUCCAUCUUUCCACAACCAAAACAUGCGUUUGAAUCAGAUAGACACUCACCCUUAUGUCUUCCCCCACACUUCCAACACUCGGGUGACUCAUAAACAUACUUUCAUGAACAUGCAUUCUUUUCAAUAAUUCAUAAGUUUCAUCAUAUUUUCAAAGUCAACGCAUCUUCAAAUUCAUUUACAUCUAUUUCAUAAAGAGAAGACAUGCAUAUUUUCAUAAAUUCAUCUUUCAUAGUUUAAGUCCCACAUUAUAUCAUCAUGGCUUAGAAAACAUGGAUUAUGCAUAGGUUCAUUGGGAUUCAUCUUAAAAAACAUGCAAAUACUUCAAUCCAUGCAUAAAAGGUCAUAAAACAAUCAAUUGAACCAACAUUGGAAAGAACCCAUGACAAUCGAAGAAAACCCUAACUUGAUUGGGGAAUCUAACUUUACAAAAUUGGAGAAUUUGGGAACUCCAUAGAUGAAAACUAUCACACCUCAAUGCCAAAAGCUUGACUUAAAUGGUAGAAUCCGGAGGCUUGAUCUUGAAACUCUAGCUUUCUUCUUCAACUUCUAGAGAGAGAAAUAUUUUAGAUAAGGAGCUUGAUUUUCUUUUGGGAAUUUGAGAGAAUGAAUUGAGUUUGGGUGAUUUGGGAGUUAAAAUCAUUAUAUAAGGUUUUAGGUGAAGGGUAAAACAACAUACUAUAAGGCUAGAAUAAUUAGGAAAAGACCCAAAAGCCCCUAAUAAAAAUAACUGUCGAUUUUACCAAUGUCAGACUUAUGGUUCGUAGGUCCAACCACGGACCGUACUGGUCAACCAUUGGUGGAUUUAGAAACCACUAAAUGUGGACUCCCAAACGAAGAACCAGACCUACGGUCUGUGAGUCCAUUGAUGGACCGUGGACCACAGUCGUAGGUCCCAACUUUUACCUCAAAAGUCUUCUAAGUUUGGGACUCACCUAUGAACCCUACCUAGGGCUCGUACAUUGAAUAACGGAUUAUCCUGGUGAACCGUCGACAAGUAGUUAAACUUAUCAUUUUUGGGAACCUGGGCUAGCCAACCACAGAGCUGACAUAUGGUUCAUGUGUCAGUCCACGGGUCGUAGGUGGCUCCGUCGGAACUGGCACCAGAUUUUCUGAAGGACUGAAAUUUUUCUCUUUCUAAAUCUGAGGAGUUAUAGAGAAUUUGGAUUGAUAGUAUCUGGUGAGCCUGGCAUUGCUUCGCAUGGCAAGAGACUUAUUGAAUUACUAUGGGCUCUUUUCUUUAAAAACUCAUAGAGUCGCUCCAUUUGUCCAUUCUUUAUUUCGAGUAAUGAUUAUAUCCUUCGUUUUGUAGUCAUAUGACUUGGUUUAAACUUUCUUUUUGUGUUUAGAGAUGAAUUGAUAUUACUGCGUGACGAUUGAAUAUUGAUGGAUAUUAUGUCUUGAUUUAUAGUUGUUAUUACUUGUGUGUUGGAUUUCUGAGAUAGAGAAAAUUUAGGAUAGGCCCAAAAACAAAGAAAACUACGUCAAUUUUCUGUAGAAUUCUAGUAAGGCUUGUUUUGGGAUUCUCCCCCUUAGUGCCAGUCAUGUUCCUAAAUUGGGUCGUGACACGUAUACAUCUUACCGAGCUUUAGCUUCCACUCAAAGACCCAUGGAUGAAUCGCAGUUCAUAUACCAAUCUCAAAAUCUCAUUAUCUCAUCAACUUGCCACCUAGCUCGUGGUCAUGGAUAAAUGUAAGGUGUCACAUUUUAUUUCUCAAAAAUAGUAUUUAUCCACUUUCUCAUAUUCCCGUGAACAAUGAUAUGUUGAGUGAGGAUGAAUGAAUCACAACACAUAUCAUACAAAGACAUAAUCAAUUAAUCAAGGAUUUGAAUAAAACAAAGUUCCCAAACUUGAUAAGUCAUGAAACAUGUCCUCAUAUGAUAGGUAUAGUAGAAGAAUCCAUUUGAAAUCGGCAUUUUUCACUUAUAAGGCAUUUCUUUCAUUUUAAGAUAAUCACAUAAGCCCCUAACUCGGGCAUCUCAAUGUCAAAUAUAAAAAUAGGCCAUGCAAUCCCUAACUCGGGCAAAUUCUCAAAUAUCACAGGUUUUAAACAACAACAAUUAAGGGUAUCAGACCAGGCCUCCACAUCGGCUAAGCAUCACACACGAACUAAACAAGAAAGUCAACAUGUACCUACCUCUAAAUUUCAUAUGACAACUCAUUUCACAGUUGACUUCUUAAGAAAGAUUAAUUGUUCAUCUCAGUCUAAAAGAGGAUAGUCACACCUAACUCGAAGGCCAAAACUUCACCCGAACAACUCUAUCAGAGCACUCCCUCAACCAAACGAUCAUCGAAACGAUCCCCAACUAUCGAUAAUGAAAAGGGUUCAUCAAAAGGAGUCCAAUGAUACCCAUAAUGACAAGAUUAGGACUCAAGGGUAAAACAAUCCAAAAAUCACUUCAGAUAUUGAAAGUGUGAAAUCAUAUUUUUAUUCGAAAAAUGAUUUUUACCAUAAAAUAAGAACUCGUGGUUGAAAGACCUAUUAAAACAAUAAAGGAAUAAGCUUUGAAUCAAGAAUUACUAAUUUAUCCAACUUACGGGAAAAACCCCAAAACCCACAUUGAAAUCAUGAUUAAAAGAUGUUUUUGGAAGUUAAAAAUUUGAAGAAAUCGAUAAGGAAUUGAUAGAGGAAGCUUACCCACACGAGUUUAAUCAACCAAAGCUCUCAAGAUCGCCUCUCCUAAGCUCUAAAAGAUUGAAAAUGGAGGAAAUAAGAAAAAUGGGAAGAAUCCUGAAUUUGGGUUCUAUCUAGGUGAAAAAUGGUCAUCACGAUCGCGAGCCACUAAAUCUCGUGAUCGUGAAAUCACGAAAUCUACACAUCGCGAUCGCGAGACCCUUGUCAACGAUUGUGAAGGCUAAGGGAUGGGGACCAAUGCAAACACGAGCUUAUGGGUUGCGGUCGCGAAGACCACAAAGAAGACACAUCAAGUUCGCGAGCCUAUGGGCCACGAUUGCAAAGGUCAAAGUGACCUGCACCAGAAACCAGCAAACCAGCAGUUCAAACUCAAGAAAAGUCCCUGAAUGGACCCUCGGGAAUCAUUCAGGGUCCGAUAAAAAAUGAACUAGACAUGCAAUCCAACUAAAUUUGAUAUUUCAAACUCAACAAAAUCAUCUAAUUUAAAAAAAAAGUCAAUGAUAGAAUUAUCUUCCCGGACCACUUUUUAGCCUUAGAACUCAACUUCUCGUUCAAACGCCCAAAACUCAAUGGAAGGCCUCAAAAACCUAACCAACCAUCUUACCAGCACAAACUCAACGUACCAAAUGCAAUGGAACUCAAAAUAUUGACCUAAGUCAACCAUACCAGUAAUACUCAACUCUAAAGAGUCAAAAUCAUCAAAAAUACACCCGAUCGCAUCGGGGACCACACCAGUCAUUUUGUAACACAAACUAAGCAUGAAAACGUUAAAGGAAAGGGCAAAAUGAUCAUUUCACUAUUUAAAGCGAUUUCACAAGAAAUGGGACAUUAUAAUAAAUAUACUUUGUAAUAAAAUGAUUAAUUGAAAGAUUAAAAGUAUUUGAAUUUAAAAAAUUUAGAUUUUCAAUUUAAAAAAGAUUUUUGGUUAGCUUAAAAAUAGAAAAUCAUGGUUGAAGAGUUCUAAAUGAACUCAAACUGUUGUAUAUACUUAUCCCUUCAGAUGUUAUAAAAUAUAUUUAAAUAUAUUAAUUUAUUAUUAAAAUAAAUUAAUAUAUUGCUGUAAUAAUUUAUAUAGAAUCUAUUAAUAGCAUUCAAGGUUAAAGAUGACUCCUAGAGAGUUAGUAGUAGUACUACUACUAUUUCUCCUAAUUCAAAUAUACAUCUUAUAAUAAAAAUAUGUAUUCUAUUUUUUUUAAAUCAAGUUUAUGAAAGAAUAAUAUAAAGAUAUUCUUUUAAAAAAUUGAUACAAUGUUUGAAUUCGAAUUUAAAUGGAAUUUGAGUCAGAAGAAUAGAGUUUUAACUACUUAACCUCUCUUAUAUAAACUCCUACAAUGAUACAUAUUUUUAAGCUAAAUUCUCUACAUUUUUUAUUGAUCAUUAGCUUUAUUGAUGAAUUUAUUUAGUGCAUUCUUCACUUCCCAAUAACUCCUUUUGAUUUGAUAUAUGCACUUAUUAUAUGCAAAUGAAUGAUGGUUGUAUUACAAUCUAAUUUUUUGCUACUACAUAAAGACUUGAAUUGAAGUAAGUAGUAAUAUUUUUCGUUCUAAUUUUUUUCUUUAAUUUUACAUAAAAGUAAAUAGAUUUGAUUACGUAAAUAAAAAAAUAUCUUUUAUUGAGAAUUUUAGUCAAGCAUUUUUGCUUUAAAAAUGCGCACUUUUGUUAGCAUUUUAUUAUUAUUAUUUUAUUAAAAUAAGUUUUCAUAAUAUUUUAUGUAUUAUUUUUGUGAUGAUCUAUUUAUUUAAUCUGGUAUUGCAUGAAUUUUGGAUGAAGAUAAGGAGAUUGAGCAACUGGUAACCCAAUAGCUUUUGUUUUGAUGGAAAAUUUUCUUAUUUAAGGUGUUCUCUUCUUAGUCAUUUACAUAAUUGAUUUUCUUGCUAUUACAUAGAGACUUGAAUUAAAGUAAGUAAAUUUUUCAUUCUUAUUUUAUUUAUUUGUUUGCUUGAUAAAGAUAAAUGCAUUCGAUUACGUAAAAUAAAUUUAAAAAAAUAUCAGAUUUUAUUGAAAUUUUUAUCUAGCAUUUUAGCUCUCUAAAUGCUUACCUUUGUUAGUAUUUUUUUAUAUUAUUAUUUUAUUAAAAUAUUGAUAACACUCAAAUGUCUUCCUUAAAACCAAUUAAAAGGGACAACGGUCGUAGUCAGUAAAAAUCCAAUGAAGAGUUGGGGUCAAAUUUCACAGGAAAUGUAUAUCAUAGAGAAUUUCUAUCAAGAAAUUUGAAUUGUAAAAUUUCUCAUUUGUAAUAGUAAGAACAAGUGGAUGGAUGAUUCCACCAGUUUAAUAAAAAUCUUUGGUUAUCAAUUGUCACAAUUAAACUAGAAUUUUAGAGAAUUUAAGACAAGCAAUCUAGGGGUGCGGGGAUUGGAAAUCGAUGUCACAUAGGGGUAAUUGUGAUUCUCUAUAGUGAUGCACAUUCAUGAAUAGGCUAGGUCAUCUUCAAUGACGCUAAUCAUCUUUCGAUCUCAAAGAAUCUAUGCAUAGAAUCUCCUUUCAGUCUCAUCUAAAUGCCAAACUAAACAACCUAAUACCUUACUCUAUUCUCUCUUUCGAUGCAAAAAUAGGGCAAAUAGAUCUGACCCAUAACAUCUAUUUUAAAGCAAGUUAUUAACAUCAAACCUAAAUUGCUAGCAUUGGACUAAUUAUCCACUCCAAUCAAUCUCUUUCGAGCAUCGAUUGGAGAUCGAAAGUAGGAAUUAAGUUUGCAACCUUAACCCAUAAAUUAACUCCAUGCUAAUUAGCUCAAAUUCAUGCAUAAACAGCAGCAAAACAGAGCAUAACACAAUAUCCACUACAUUAAAUCAACACCCAACCUCAUAAUUUCAUCCCCUAGAUCUUGGGGUUUUAGUCACCCAUCACAAAAAGCAAAGAAAAUAUACCUUCCAUGAAAACAGUCAUGGAUCACACGAAAUUAAGCAAUUACAAGUAAACCCACUUUGGAUUCAACUUCGAUUUAUCAAAUUCAAGAGAAAAGUUGUAAAACUCUAAAAGCUAGAAAGUGUAAGGUCAAGUGUUCUCUCUCAAAACUCAAAAUAUAUCUCACUCUUUCUAAAUUUCAGAACUCCUUGAUUUCUCUCUCCUUUGAGCUAAGACUCGAACAACCUUCAUUGUGAGUAGGAUUUUAUCGAGGAAUUUAAAAAAAUUCUUAAGUAUUAAGGUCACUAGAUAUAUCACUAUAACAUACCGCCUUAGGAAGAACUAGAAUUAGAAAGAAACUAUCUUUGGAAAGAGUAAAUUUGGAAAUUUUGGCAAGUUGUGCUAAGUAUGAGUUUUGGGUCAACUUCAAAUGACCAUAACUUUUAGUAAAUGAUGAAUUAGGUGGACCAUAAGAUAUCAAAUCAAAGGUCUUUAAUUUGAAUUAUCUUUCCAAAGCCACUGAGUUUGCUAAGUUUUGAGUUCGGAUGCGUGAGAUAUACCCUUUUUUAAGUCAGACUGUCCAAUUAAGGAAAGUUACCCGAAAAUAGUGAGGAGUAUUUUGGACUUUCCUUACCCAAUCAGAUUUAAUUCAUUUUGAGUAAGGUUUUAGGGGUCUAAACUGAUUAGGUUCAGUUUUAUAAUCCUAAUAUACGCCUAGGAUUUUAGUUGAGAGUUCAAGAAGAGAAAAGAAGAGAAAAGAGGAGAAAAGCGGAAAGGAUCAAGGCGUUUGUCGAGGUUCUUGAGUUUUGUUGCGGAUUUUCGCCAUGGUACGUAAGCUUCCAUAGUGUUGAGUUCGUUCACCCACAUGCCACUCAUGAGUUUCUUUUGCGAAUCUAUCCAUAAAUAUUGAGCAAUUUAAUUUUUUGAUAAGUGUUCUUGAAGUUUCCUUAUCAAUUAAGUUUUAAUGUAAGAUUCUACUUUGGUCAGCUUCAAACAACCAUAUCUCUUAGAAUAUAAAGAGUUGCGUGGCCCGUAACCUAUCAAAUUAAAGGUAUUUGAAUCUACUUUCCAACUCCACAAAUUUCGCGUCAAUCCAAUUUUUGAGUAAAAAUUUAUGACUAUUUUAGUAACCUGAUACAGUACUGUUACGAAUUAGACGACGGGAAACUAUUAAAAAGCGUCAUUUUUGUCUUUUUACCUUCAAGAAAACCCUAAACAAAUUUCUUGACUAAUAAAAGGCUCAAAACAAUUAGAUUUUCAUCUUUUAAUCCAUCAUUCUCUUUUCGCUCAAACCCUAGGGCAAAACCCUAAGGAAUAAUCAAAGUAGAAGACUAUUCAAGAUUCUUUCAAUUUUUUUCAAGAUUCUUCUUCAAUGUAAGUCUUUCUCCAAGAAAAUCAUAAUUGAAAUAUUAGCAGAAAUAGAGAUUUUAGGUAAGUUCAGAUUCUUAUUGCCACUACUUAGCAUACACUGGUUAAAGGGUUAAAUGGUUCAUUUUUCUUAACUUCCGAUGAGUUAGGUUCUUUACGCAAAGAAGCCAUGCGAAAAGCGCACACGAAGUAAUUCUUGGCCAUAGAGAUUUCAAGAAACUAAUUCAAGAAUCUCAAGAAAGGUUUUCUUGAUCGUUUACCUUCAAGCUAGGAUUUCAAGGUUCCUAAUCAAGUUCUUCUUCAAUAUUCUUCAAGAACCUUGUUCUUCCAGGUAUGUAAGUCUAUCAUAGUGUUGGACUAGUUCGUCCUCACGCCCUACAUCUNNNNNNNNNNNNNNNNNNNNNNNNNNNNNNNNNNNNNNNNNNNNNNNNNNNNNNNNNNNNNNNNNNNNNNNNNNNNNNNNNNNNNNNNNNNNNNNNNNNNNNNNNNNNNNNNNNNNNNNNNNNNNNNNNNNNNNNNNNNNNNNNNNNNNNNNNNNNNNNNNNNNNNNNNNNNNNNNNNNNNNNNNNNNNNNNNNNNNNNNNNNNNNNNNNNNNNNNNNNNNNNNNNNNNNNNNNNNNNNNNNNNNNNNNNNNNNNNNNNNNNNNNNNNNNNNNNNNNNNNNNNNNNNNNNNNNNNNNNNNNNNNNNNNNNNNNNNNNNNNNNNNNNNNNNNNNNNNNNNNNNNNNNNNNNNNNNNNNNNNNNNNNNNNNNNNNNNNNNNNNNNNNNNNNNNNNNNNNNNNNNNNNNNNNNNNNNNNNNNNNNNNNNNNNNNNNNNNNNNNNNNNNNNNNNNNNNNNNNNNNNNNNNNNNNNNNNNNNNNNNNNNNNNNNNNNNNNNNNNNNAGUUCCUAAUCCUUUUGAGAUUAUAUUCCUACUUAUGGGACUACUACAUGUUACACAUAAAGCCCUUUAGUUGAGUUGUUCAUGCCCAUAAUUCCGCAUGAACCGUAUGAGUCAAACAUUCUUGAGAUGAAGUAGUACCAUGAACUCCUUGAGUUGAGAUUGUUCAUGCCCAUAAUUCCACAUGAACCCUCUGAGUUGAGUAUUCUUGAAACGAAUAUUACCAUUGAAGUUCUAGAGUUCUGAGCUGUUGAGUCUCGAGUAUUGAGUUUUAUGUAUGGUUGUUGAAAAAAAUNNNNNNNNNNNNNNNNNNNNNNNNNNNNNNNNNNNNNNNNNNNNNNNNNNNNNNNNNNNNNNNNNNNNNNNNNNNNNNNNNNNNNNNNNNNNNNNNNNNNNNNNNNNNNNNNNNNNNNNNNNNNNNNNNNNNNNNNNNNNNNNNNNNGACAAUCGAGUAUGCCAUCAAUGUAUGAGCAGUAUGGUAUCUAGAUAUACCAUCAAUGUUUAUGCAAUAUAACUUCCCGAGUCAUAAAUAAUCAUAUUAUAAUAUGAUUUUGAAAUGUUUUGAGAAAGAGCAGAGUUGAGUUCAUUUUCUUUAAAAUGAUAUAUGGGAACUAAGUAUUCCCAAGAGUAAAUGUUUUCACAUUUAAGAUGAGAGGAAACUAAGAUUUCCAAAGGAGUUUUGAGCAGUUUGAGUACCAUCUCUUUUAAGGGAAAGAUUUUUGAGUAAUAAUCUCAAACCACAGAAAAAGUUAUGUUUUUAAACAUAUGAGCUAGUAUAUUUUAGAAGUAGUAUUGAGCACUGAUUUGGGGGAGAGUUCAAAUAACUCACAGCCCCCAUAAACCAUGUAGUCAAUAUGGGUAGAAAGGGUCAUAUUUUUUAGAUGAUUCAUUAAUGCUUUUUAGCAUAGACUAGUAGAUCCACACUUAGUGAGUAGGUCUUAUACCCUGGCAAUGUAUAGGACAAUUCUGGCAGCGUGGGCGAGACAUUGUAUCAUCAGAUAGCUCAUAGUGAUGGUUGUCGGUUAGAGAAACUUCCACAUAGAGAUAUUUUGUAUUCUUAUAUACACAGAGUUUAUUUUAUAUUUUAAUAUACAAAUAGAGUUUAUUUUGUAUUCUUACAUACAAACAGAGUUACAUUGUAUUUUCUAAUACAUUGAGUUGCUAUCUACUGUUUUCAAAGCUUUUGAUAUAUUGCAUCUUUUAUUGUUGCUUUAUAUUGAGUUGAGUAUCCAGAGUUGAGUACCCAGAGUCGAGUAUCUUAUUAUUGAGUUGAACCUUAUUUUACUGAUUUGAAUAUCUUAUCAUUGAGUUGAUCCCUAUUUUCUCUGACUUGAAUUGAGUUAAACUAUGUUUCUUUGAGUUGAGUGAGUUGAGAAGACGUAAGUAUGUUUCUAUUCCACCAGUUCAAGCUUAUGUUUAUGCUUUAGAAUUCCCCUUACAUGCUCGUACAUUCCAUGUAUACUGAGUCAUUUGGCCUGCAUCAUUUCAUGAUGCAAAUACAGGUAUUCAUGAUCAUCAACAAGCAUUUUGUUGGGAUCAUAGGUUAUUCCAGUCAGCUUUGGUGAGCCUUCUUACAUUCCGAAGGACUUCACCUUUAUCUUAAAGCUAGUAGUUUGAGAUGUCGUGGGUCUUGUCCCAAUAUUCUUCUGUAAAAGUAGAGGCUUCAUAGAUAGAUAGUACAGUUUGAGAAGUCUGUUUCAUUUAUUUUGUUAAAUGUUUUAAGGACUUGAGUUGCCUAUUUCUGGAAAGUUGAAUAUACUAUUUUAUCCAGAGUUAAUCAUUUCAGUUUGUUUUAGCUUUGUAUGCUUAAGUUAGUAUUUCGCUUGUAGCUAGCCAGGAUGAGGGUUCGCUUAAGGACUAGAAAUGGUUCUUGAGUGUCGGCCAUGUCCAGGGUGUAGGCUCGGGUCGUGACAUAUAUAGUUUCAUAAUAUUUGGCCUCAAAACCCAAUGUGUGUCUCAUUCAACGAUAUUAAUCGGGCUCGCCGAGCUCGUUUGGCGAAUCGUCUCUCGCUCUUCAGCUUGCCUUUACAUACUCUAGGCUUCAAGUAUUUUAACCUUAGUUGGCGAACUCAUUUUAGUCAACCUUUCACAUUUGACGAAUUGUUGAGUACCACUUUGGUUCGCCUUCUAAGCAUUCAAUUUUUCUCCUUGCACUAUCAUUUUUGACGACGUUAGGCAAGGUCGCCUUUCUCAUUCGGCAUAUCGCCUUCUUUGUUGGAGUUUGCCGACCUAUUUCAAUAGAUACAAGUGUUAUGCACUGUCAAUUUGGGCGAGGCCAUGCUCACUAGGCAAUCCUCCUUUCUCGUUUGGUGAUCAACAAUGUAUAGUUUGCACUUCUUUUUACAUUUAUGGUCAUUCUUUCAAACAUCAAUCAUUGCCUUGUCCAUUUGCCUUCAUAACUGCAAAUCAUCAACAGCUUAUCAGGAUAGGAUAAAAUUAGGCAUUGAGGACACUAAAUAUUGAGCUAAAUAGACCUCAAAUGAGUGCAAAUCUACCACUCAACAAAUAUGUGUUCAUAUUAUUUUAUGUAUUUUUGGUUGAUCUAUUUAUUUAAUUUGAUGUUGCAAGAAUAUUGGAUGGAGAUAAGAAGAUUGAGCAACCGGUAACCCAAUAUCUUUUGUUUAGAUGAAAAUUUUUCUUAUUAAAGUGUUCUCUUCAUAGUCAUUUACAUAAUUGAUUUUUUUGCUACUUUAUUGAUUAGCGAUACAUAAAACUGUAGAAAAACCUCCAUUUUUAGUGUAAAAAUUUGUAGACUUUCUCUUGAGAUGAAAAACGACUUUGUGCAUUAUUAAUUUUCAUUUGUACAACAUCACUAUAUUGCAUUCUUUUACCUAUUUUAUUUUAAGAGAAUUACCAAUUAGAUUUCCAAACAUCUGAAUUAUUCAACUUAAAUUAUUUUAUUCGUUUUAAAACAAGGUAGAUUGUCAACAGAGAUUUUUUUUAAAAAGUGACAUAAAUAAAAAGUCUAAUAUUUUAGAUUUUAGUGGUAUAAAGGAAUAAAACUAUCAAUAAAUAAAGUGAUGUGUGAUAUUUGAAUAAACGAAGGGCUCCUCACCUCUCGUUCUGUGAAAGUGCACAACGAAGUUUCAACGCGAAUAAUAAUAAUUUAUGGAGAAGAAAUGGAACCCUUGUUGUUGUAAAUAUGGAUUUCAAGGUAUUUAUUUCAUUGACAUGAUUAUAUAUGUAUUAUCAAGUUAGGUUAAAGUGGUAUUAAUAAUUUGAAUAUGAGCUUCAGUACCCAUGAAUGGGAGAUUUUAUUCUUCUAACGCCAAGUAUACUCCCUGUAUCGCUAGUUGAGUUACACUAUGAUGCUAAAAUUGAGUUGAUGUUCAAUUGUAAAGGAUAGAAAUAAGUAUAGACUUUUAGGAUGGAACCAGUUACUUCUUGAAUGAUAAGAAUUAGAAGUGAGGGAUUUAUGAAGAAAUAUUUCAACAACGUCAUGGAUAGCCAAAAAAAUUGUUUGAGCGAAAGCUAAAUGUUGAUAUUUGGAAUAAUGACUCGUUGUUGCUUAAAUGGAAGUAUUAUCAAGUUAAUGAAUAAGAUAGUUUGACGUUUUGAGAGUCAAAUCUUAACCCCGAGGGUGGGGUAUUUAAAUAGUUAUUUAUUUAGCCUAACAAAUUAACAAGAGAUCGAUAUGAUGUGAUUAUAUAUUGAUUGAAGGGAGUCAUGCAAAUUGCUUGAGGUGACGAGCAAUAACUGAUAUGAAUACUUGACUCAUUUAUGAUGAGUUCACUAUUAUUGAUUACUUCAUAAAAAAUGUCACACUGAUUACAUGAUUCAUCCUUGAAAACCUCCCAAAUAUAAGAUUUGAUAUGAACAUGUUUUUUGAGUUUAUUUCUAAAUGCACAUUGAUUUUUGCUUACAUGAGGCAAAUAAUAUUGAAUAUUGUUAUCGUUUCUGGCUUGUCCCUCAUUAAAAUGGUUGUGGUUAAGCGUUAUUACUAACCGAGCUAGCAUCUAAAUCCCCGCUAAAUAUUUUUACAGAGAACUCAGGUAGCGUUGGCGAGAAUUUCAUUAAUUAGAGAGUAUGGAUUGAUAGUAUCUGGUGAGCCUCGUGUUGCUUCGCAUGGCAAGAUAUUUAUUGGAUUGCUAUGAUUUAUUUUGUUCUUUUAAAACUCUUAGAGUUGCUCCAUUUGUCAGUCCUUUUAUUACAAUCAUGAUUAUUCCUUCAUAUUAUAGUCACGUGACUAGUUUUAAACUUCUUUUCAUAUUUGGAAAAGAAUUGAUACUAUUGUGUGGCAAUUGAAUUGUUGAUGGAUAUUGUGUCCUGACUUAGAGAUGUCAUUAGUUGUGUUGUUGAUUUCUAAGACAGAUAAAAAUUGGAUAGGCCCAAAAAUAGAGGAAACUUUGCUUGAUUUUCUGUAGAUUUAUGUUAAGGGGAUUCUUUUCCCUUGGCAUCAGUCAUAGACCUAAAUCAAGUCAUGAAAAAAUUGGUAUCAGAGCUUAGGUUAUUCUUAUGAUUUAUGGAGUAGACAUUAGUAGUAGAAUCUCAAUUAUUAUAUUGUCGGUCAUUCCUAUAAUUGUGAUUCUAUGGGGACGUGAUAGGAUAUGUCUUUCCUUUCUCUCUUAUUCCUCUGUACGUAUGUGGCGAUUAGAAUUUUAUUAGCUAAAUUUAACUUGUUUAUCAUUUUACCAUAGGAUUUAAACUCGAUUAUGUGAUAGCACGAAUAGGCCAGAGGUUCUGGGUCAUUCAAUGUCGCCUUUAACAUGUAAUCAUCUCUUCCAAUUAAUGUCAACCACAAGUAACAAUCAUGGCGAUAGAAGGGUACGUUGUUCUACUAUUAGGGAGUUGCACUCAUAAAGGGGCAUGUAAUAUAACCAUUAGUAGAAGUAGUACUGGUACAAGCAACAAAUCGUUACCGUUGACACGUUUAUCUCCAAGUAAAGAGUCAUAGAUAGCUUGAUGGACAUAUUAUAUAGAACUAGACCACAUAAUAGGACCCAAGAUAAGUUGCAGUACCUAUAUGGAUUUAGAUUGUUGAGAAUGCCUAAGGUUGAAAGCACCAAAAUUGUUAUCUAAUAGUUUCAAAGGACCAUUAAAAUAUUCUCGGGUGAAAAUACUUAAAGUCUUACAAACGGUGGGAUAUUACGCGAUGAGAUUCGUAGAGUUAGAAGUUUAGAGAUGGAUGACAUGUUCACUACGUGUUAUGAUACCGAUUAUUUAGAAGCUAACAGGAAACACUAUUUCUUUGAGGUGAUUCACUAAGUUAUUAUUUCUUUCUUCAUUUAAAGCGCGUAACAUGUUGGAGAGUUAAAAAAAUUGUUCAGAUGAAGAAUUGGACCGAUAUAUGACCCAAGAUUUUCUUGACGAGAUAGAUAUUCUCCUUACUCAUUUUUUUUAUACAAAGCAUUUCAAGUUUAGAAAUUUUUGAAAGGAUGGUUAGCCUCGCACACAAAAAAAAUUCCCUACUUUGAGGUAGUUGACAUUGCUAAACAUUUUUUGAAAAAUAUGUGAAGCCAUAAAAAGAGCAACCACGGAUUCAUGCUAGGUUGAAACUUGAAAAAAAGAAGGAAUCUCAGACUUAAGAAAUAAGUGAUGCUAUAUGAUUAUGAGGGUUAAACAUUUACUAAAGGACAUGAGGGAGGAUAUAUCUAUUCUAAUUUAGAAAUGCUAUUGGUAGUGACAUAAUUUAGUGAUGUAUUUUUGUGGAUUUGCCAAGACCUACUAGUACGAUAAAUAGAUUUUUGUAUUGACUUGGUGUGUGACGUGCAACCCUUUUGAUGCCUACCCCUAUAUCUUAUGACAUCAACGGAGUUUAGAAGAGAUAAAUAAAUAAUUGUAGUUCAUAUUAAAUAGAGAUUCAUCAAACUGAACAAUGUAACAACAUAACAAAUUCUUGUUGUCUGGAAUAGAUGUCAUAUAUGAUUGGUUACAAUGAGUCAUCCACUUGUCAAAAAUCAAUCCUCAGUUUGAAUUAUUAUCAACUUACAAUCAAAGAACGAUGAUAUUUCUAAGACCACCUCCAAAUUUGAGUGCAAAUAUUCUGAGUUCUCUAAGAUAUCUUUUAGAAUGUCCAAUGCUCAAUGUGCAUUCGUGGACUUAAUAAAUAGGGUGUUCAAGACAUUCUCUACAAAUUUGUUAUAGUGUUUGCGGAUGAUAUUUUUUUAUACUCUCAUAGUCGAGAAGAACAUAAAGAUCACAUGAAGAGGAAUUGUGCUACAAAAACCGUGAGGCAUGGACGCUAUGUAAACAAAUUUUGGCUAGACUCAAUAGCAUUGCUCGAGUAUGUUGUAUCUAACGACGGAUGGGUUUAUUGCGACACCUAAGUUGGCAUAAGUAGUUCAGAAAUAACGCAAUUUCAUUACUCUUAUAGAGAAUAACAACUUUUUUUAUUUUUGACAGGCUAAUACAGGCAUUUUGUGCAUAGUUUCUUUGGAAUAGCACUUGUCUGAAAAUUACAACUCCACUUAAUUACCCGGCUACCAAAAAAAAGAAGUGAAGUUUCAAUAAACAGAGCAAUAGGAAUAGAUGCUUUUAGAAGCUCAGAAUAUGUUUGACUACCAUAACAGUGUUAGUUUGUGAUGCUAUGUGAUGUUUUGAGGGUGGGAUUAGGAUGUGUUCUCAUUAAGAAAGGUCAUGUGAUAGUUAGUUUAUACUUCGAGAUAGUUGGAUAAGCAUGAGCAGAAGGUUACAAUGGUAUUUUAUAUAAAGUUCGGAGCACACUUAUACAAUGAAAUCAAUGUGACUUAUACAAACCGCAAGAACCUGAAAUAUAUGUUCCAAAAACGGGAUUUGAUCUUUCAAUUUAAACGGAUGGAAAAAACUACUCCAUACUGUCAUGUGGGAAACAAAUUUGCUUAGAUAGAUGCGGAAAUCCAUAGAUUAUAUGGAACAUAUAGCUCAUGCGAAAGGACUUGUAGCCUGGAAUUUGCACAUACUCAUGGAUACAAGUAUCAAAUUAGUGUGAGAAACUCAGAGACACUAUUCACUUUUUAUGUUCAGCUCAAGUCCUUAUUGGUAACACACAUCAAGGCCAACUAAUUUGAGGAUGAGAAAUUAUGUGAAUACUGAAAUGAGAUUCUAGAGGGUAAAGACAAGGAUACGACUUUUGAUUGUUAUGUUGUUUCCCUUUAACAUAGAUGGUUUGAGGUAAUAUAUUCUUGAAGAAGACAUACCUCUAACUACAAUAUAUGUCUGGAAUCACUAUGAAGUAAUAUUUCCUUAAACAGUUAUAUUUGUAGAGGGGAAGAAGGCAUUUAUUCUAGUUGUCUAGCUUGUCAACAUGUUAAAGUUGAGCAUCAAUGACCCACAGGAUUAAUACACCAACUCCAGAUCCCUGAGUGGAUAUGAAAAUGGAUAAACAACCUUAAUGAUACCAUAUAUAUAUAUACACACACUCUUAUAAUAUCAUUGACUAAUGAAUAAUUUCUGAACAAAAAAUUUUAAUGAUACCACAACAAUAUACGUAUACUCUUACAGUAUCACUGAAUAAUGAGUAAUUUCUAAACAAGAAACUUUAAUGAUAGACUCUGUGUGUGUAUAUAUAUAUAUAUAUAUAUAUAUAUAUAUAUUGAUUUAGUAUCAAUUAAGUGAAAUUAUCAGGCUUAAUGAUACCAAUACAGCAUAUGAUACUGAUUUAGUAUCACUUAAUAUCAGCUUUAAUGAAUGAAGGGUAUGGGCUGUAAAAAAAUUGAGAGAAUGGGUAUUUCUUGAAUUACUUUUGAUUGGGGUAUAACAUGUAAUUAUUUUGAUUUUUAUGGCUCAUUUAUGUAGUUUUUCCAUUAUAAAGUAUACUCGGAGGCAUUUAGAUAUCUUAAUUAAUUUUUUUUAUUCUACUUGCAAAUCAAAAUUUAUGAAUAAUAUUAUUUUACUGAUUAUUUUGUAUCCUUUCAUCUUAUACCGACAAAUAGUAUUUUUGCAUUCUUUCUUGAUUAGUUCAUUAGUAUAAAGAAAGAAAUUAAAAAAUUUAAUAGACUAAAGUAUGAUAGAUAUUUAAAGUAUAUGUGAAUAAGCCACAAUGAAAAAUAUUAAAUAACAAAUCUAAAAAGAUAAAUUUUUGAAGUUAUAGCUUAGAGUUUGAUUCAACAUGAUGUACACAAGUAACACAUACAUAUUUUUUUCAUAGAAUAAUUUUAAAUUUUAUUUUUUCCUUUAAAAUUCAUAUUCCAUAAUUUUUUGUGAAUUAUAAAUUCUUUUUAAUUCUUGGGACAGAUUUAAUAGUUUUUUAGAAUUCUAAUCAAAGAACAAUAAAUUUUAAAAUUGAAUAUGAAUAAAAAAAAAUUGAAUAUGAGUAAGAAUGUAUAUUCGAUAUAGCUUAAAGUAUUUAUCUUAAAUUUUAAAUCAUAAUCACUUCUAACAUAUUAGUUUAUAUUGAGAUCUUCUUCUAAUAUAUAUAUAUAUAUAAUCAUUUCUAUUAUGCAUAACAACAUCUAUCAAUUAUAAUUUCAUGUUAUACAAAUUCAUUACAAAAAUGUAAGAAAAUAAAUAGUCAAUCAAUAUCUCUAUUAUAUUGUGUAGCAAUACAAAAUUAUAAUUUAGGAUAAAAUAUGGUAGAUAAAUAUAAACAAUGAAAAAAUUAUGGUUAAUGAAAUAAAAGUUCAAAAAUAAAUUUUAGGAAUAAUAAAAAUACUUGUGUUAUGUAAAAAUAAAUAGCUAAAAUGACAAGCUAUUAAAAGUCAGGGCGUUCGGUUCUUCGGUUCGAUUUUAUCAAACUUUGAUUCGAAUCAUCGGUUUUCAAUUUUAGAAAAUUGUGCACCGUAUAUCAAACCAAAUUAAUUUGGUUUGGUUUGGUUUUUCCUACUUCGAUUCGGUUUAGUUUGGUAUUUUUAAAUCGGCUUUUCGGUGUGAAUGAAAAAUAAAAUGAGGGCAAAAUCAAAGUAUAAGAUACGUAAAAAUUUAAAAGUAUGUUAAGGAAUAUUGUGUCUCACCAUGCAACACUUAUUGUGCUAACUAAAAUACUAUAUUUAUCUUUGUCUAGAACAUUGUGCAUCCAACUACUUUCCGAGAAAAACAAGGACGAAAACGGAUUCUUUUACAUAAAGUAUAUUGAUAAAAAUAUGUUUUGGUCCUCUUGGGAAUUAAUAUUUGAAGUUAACUAUUGAAUUGUACAUUUCUUGCUAUUUUGAUUUGUUCAUGAAUGAUUUAAGUGUUAGUUGACUCUUUAUUUUUAGUGAAGAGAAUGCCCAUAUAUAUAUAUUACUUUUUUAAUAAAAGUUCGGUUCUUCAGUGCACCGAAGUUCUGAGACCCUUAUACCGAACAUCAAACCGAAGAAUCAAACUUUUGAAAAAAUAAUACCGACACCGAAUCGAAAAACCCAAGAACCGAAUUAGUUCGGUUCAAUUUAAUUUUUUGAUUUUCCGGUAUUUAUGUCCGCCCCUACAUAGUAAUGUAAGCAUACUAAUUAUUGAAUAAUACACUAAUAUUAUAUUAUUUUUUUUAAAAAGAAUCUUAAAACAGCCUAUGUGGUGCCCUCACAGAUCAGGAUUCUUAAUUAACCCUUCUUAAAAGUCAUAACUUUAUGAAAAAGUCACAACUUUUCAUAAAGUCACAACUCUUUAGAAAAGUCUGAACUCUUCAAAAACUUUUCAACAAAGUCAUAACUCUUGAUUUUGCAUUCACUCUUUUUAAACCCAACACUUAAUUCUAAGGCACCAAAAGAAAAUAGAAUAAAAAAAAAAUGAUUUCAAUUACAAUGCAAUAUUACUACUUUUGUCUAUCAGUCCACAACUCAUAAAGCUACUGGAAUGGUUGAAUUCAUAACAAAACUUCUAUUUCUGCCACUAUUAUUUGUAGGGUUUUUUUCGCAAUAAAGGAAUUGAAUUCAAAUACAUUAAUUAAGCUUCUUAUGAAUUUUGUUUCAUUCCUCAAAGAUUUUUUCCUCCUAUUUCAGGAAGCUUGAUAUUUUACUGUAAGUCAUAGUGAUUCAUGUAACUAUUGCAAUUUCUUUUUGCUAUUUUGGUGACUUUUUUUUUAACUCGGCUAAAAAUCCCAACAAGGAUGAUUGAAAAUUGAUCUUCUCUUUUGCCCCUUUCUACAGGCUUCCUCAUAUACUUUUUGGGAAAAUUGCUUGUGGAUUGUGUUAUAUUUAAUAGCACACAAUAACAAAUAUGUGACAACUAAAAUGGAACCUAUGGUGAAGUUUGUUAAAAGAACCAAACAUAUUGCUCCCUUGUGCCACAGUUAGUAUAUUAGUUUGAUUGUUUUUUCUUUGGUACAAACAUUUUGUAUGUUGUUUCACUUUUCCUAGAAUAUUAAUAUAGAAACAAUUAGUCCACUUCUUUUAUUGCAAGUUGACUUAUUUGUCAUAUUUCUUCCACUCUUCUUUUUGGGCAUAAUAAAAGAUUAAGUUUUCUUGAAACUAACAUAUGCCCAAAAUACACUAUAACCAAAAAAAACUAUCGGCAAUAAAUAUGCACAUUAACAAAGAGUGCUAGAGUCUUUACCAACAUUAAUUAAUUGUCAUUAGAUUCAAUGUUGCUAUAAACUUUAGAGACAUUUAUAGAGAGUACUAAUUGCCCUGAAAAUACAUAUUUAGCGACAAUUAAGCUAUUAAUUAUCGUUAAAGAUCAUUUUUGUUGUAAUGAUAACUCUUUAUUUUGGCUUCUUUCAAUUAAAUUUGUGAACUAUAAACUUUGAUACAGCCCGGCACACUAUCUUUUUGAAAAAUAAGUUAAACAUGCCUUUUUCUUCUUGAUUGUUAGAAAAGUAAGGUCGUCUUUAUUAUUAUUUGUGGAUAUUUGUGAGUGUAAAUGCUCACAAAAUUAUGUUGUGAGAUUUUAAUAUGUUAUGAAUUAAAAUUUUGAUUUAGAAUAUCCAGUUGUAAACAGUUCCAUUCAGAUGUCACCUACUGCUUGAUUGAUCAUUGCAUUAAAUUCUUUGUAACUGCGUACUAUAACCAUAACAAUAACUAUGGUUCAAUUUCAUAAGUUGGGGUUGGUGAUAUGAAACCUAAGCAAUAGUAAUGACUAUUUUGAGACAAUGAGGAAAAACCUUUAUGAUAUUAACAAUUUUAGGGUCAUUUUUGACAGAUGCAUGAUAUAGCAUACUAUAAUAAAAAAGAGGUUGAUAGAGGUUCAUAAGAAAGGAGCCAAAGGUUCUCCAUUUGAAUUUAGUUAAUUAUUCUCUUGUAUGGACUUGAUGUUCUACUUUACUUGGGAGUGUUGUUGUUCGAGGUUUUUUGGUCUCUUUUUAACAUCUGAUGUUGUUCUUUAGAAGUUCCUGGAAUUUAGAAAAUUUCGUUACUUCUGACCAACUAUUUUCAUGGAGAUUUUCUUAUACUUAAAAGCUCUCUGACGCAUAAUUUUUGUGCAACAAAAACGAAAAUUAAAAAAAAUAUAGUACUUUAAGAUUUCAAAGGAACUUUUUGCCUUAAGAUAAAAUAUUCUUGACAAUGUAGUGUAUGUAUCAAAAAUACGGAUAUUACCGAAUAAUCAUAUGUGAUCUUACUAAAAUAGUUCAAUCCUGAUUCGCACAGAUAAUUACCUAGUUAUAAAUCAAGACAAAACUAUGAAACAAGUUAUAAAUUAUAAUUUUAAAAAAAUGUAAAGCACGACUAAUUUUUAGAUGAAAAAAUAUUUUUUAAUUAUAACAAGUAAAAUUUUAAAUUUUGUAUACCAUGUAACUGAAAUCUCUUUAAAUAACAAAUUAAAUGACUAUUAAAGUAUACAAAUUUAAGCAACUCAAACUUAAACUCAGCAUUCUAUGUAAAUUGAAAUGAAAUUGGAGGCCGGGGGGGGGGGGGGGGGAGUAUAUCUCAAACUAAUUUUUGCGAAAACAUAAUUAAAAAAUUAAAUAUUACACAUAUUACCAUCCAUAAGAUUUAAAUGGAAAAGGCGUGAACAAUAGAAUAAAAAUCUAAAAAAUUAAAAUAUUCAAAGAGUAAACAAAAUAAAUAGAUUUGUGUUAUAUUAAUAAGAUAAGAAGAGCACCUGAUAAAUUAUAUUCAUCCAAGUGAUAAACUAAUAAAAAUCAAUAUUAACAAUCUAAUAAUUUUGAAUAGUGAACAAUGUAAAUAAUACAAAAUAUGAAACAUUAUUUGAUAAAUACAUAAUUUGUUAUCUAUAUUCAUAUCCAUAGAGAUUUAGUUAUUGAAAUUAAGAGAGGUGUGGGUACAUAUUUCACUAAGAAGCAAUAUGAUAAUUGAACUUUUUUCUAAGAUUAAUACUAUUUAGCAUGUUCAAAUAAGAUAUCACAUUUCAAAACACUUAAAAAUAAUAUUUUAAUAUUAUCCACGCAUGCAUACAUAUAGCUAAAAGGUUCACAAAAUUCCAUUAGUCCGUCUCAUUAUCAUUACGUCGGCAAUAUUAUUCGACUCCGCAAAUUUCUUAUUCCAAUUACCACCAACAUUUCAGAUUUGUAAUACUCCUUCCAUCCCCUUCUUACGCGUUAAUUAUCUUUUUUUAAAAUUAAAAAAAAAAAAAAAGAGAAGACUUUAAUUAUCCACUUCUUAAUAAAUUAAGAGAACUUUUGUUCUGAUUGUCCCGUUAUUACUAAGUUAUCAUUUCACAAAAUAAUUGGAACAGUCAGUUAAAUUCAAAUAUCCAAAAUAUCAUUAAUAAAAUAAUUUAAUAUAAUGAACAAUAAACUACAACAUUUAAUAAACUGAACAAGAAACUACUACAACAAUGGCAUACCCAGUGAAAAACGAAUACCUCCUUCCCUAAGAAGAGUACAAAACACAAAAUGAACUGACUCCCAUCACUCUACAGUCUACUCAAGAGUGUGUUUCUUGAAAUUAGGGUUGCUUUCCACUUUCUUUUCUUACUGACCUGUGGAAAAAAAAAAACAUGACAUCUAUGGACGACAUAGUAUUUAGCAUCAAUCAACACUUGUUUACAACGAAAAAAAUAUUAUGAUUCUUAAGAACUCAACGGGCCCUUCCCCUUCGAAUCAAACAAACAAAGAAGGGAAUCCCAUUAGAACUUAUGCUUUUAUGUUGACAACACAAAUUCUUUUAACUCAUUUUUUUUUUCUUUUCACCCUGUUUGCAAUGAAUUUGAAUUUAAAAGUUCAAAGCUUAGCUUCCAUUUAUCCGAGUACCCACUUUCCAAGUUAAUCAAUAGCAGAUGCUUAUGCAUUAAAACUAGAAAAGUUGGUGGUUCGGAGCAAGACAACUCGAAUAUGCUAAAAUGAGAAUCUAACUUAUAAAUUAAAAUACAAAACAGGACCUUUAUGGUGAUUGUCGCCUCUAAAAGAUUGCACCUCAUAUCUACGAUUUUUAAAAUUGGACGAAUUUCAAGAUUACAUUCUUCCAUCGAAAUUCAUUUCCAGAUAUUUAUUUAUUUUUCAAUUGAGAUUCAAGUCCAAACACAAAUAAAAUUAAACUCCUUUGAACACUUCACCUUGAAAUAUGCUUUACUUUUCAACUUCACCCAACUAUUAUAAUGUCAUCCUAUUAAUCGGAUAUGCCUGUGAGUAACAGUACAAUUAUUGGAAAAGGCGUCUGUGAGUUGAUAGGUAUAAAUACAUAUUGGUCCUGUCCUUCCGUCUCUUUUUUAGUAAUAUGCAGAAUAGGAAAACUCUAAACAUGAAUAGUACUUACUUAAACUAAAAAUGCCUUCACAAAAAUAUCAUGGCAACAGAUUCAAAUCAUAAUCAUUGUUAGAUAAAAUACCCAUAAUUUAUUUGCUUCAACUUGAACAUAAGUAGAAAACGUCCAUACCACUUAUAGAAGCACCGACAUUUGAUGUUUACUCCAGAGCACACUGUUUUCUGUUAAUCUGGGUCCAAGCAUUGAAUAUUGUUCACCUCAGCUACAAUGUUCUUCCACUUCACAUGUUAUCACAAAAUUGAAAACACAUGCAGCAAAACAAUUUCCUACAAUUUCAUUUUUCUUUUUUCUGCCCUUGCUCAGCACCGAAAGAUUAAUUUCCAGGAAACCUCUGGUAAAGCUUUCAAGAAGCUAAUCUUCAACAACCACCACGAAACAGUAAAUUUUCUAGCCCAACAAAUCUUUUCGUUUUUUAAGUAGGUCAAGACAGAUGAAAUACUCUCCAAUUUGCUUUCCCACCAUCCACACCAACCUUAACUUCUCCCUUUCUCAACUCUCUUGGGGUCCUUCAUCUUCAUCAGAAUUCAUGAUCUUUAAUAGUAAAAUCCAUGUUUCAUGUUCUUUCAAGAUAAGCACAGAUCAUCAGACUGUCAGCUUAUGAUUAAAUGUUUAGGCACCUCAACAGCACUGAGAAUGAGUCGGAGCACUCCAAAUUCAACAAAUAACCCAAAAGUUACCACCGUCUUAAUGAAUAACAUCCUAAAACAGAUGAUUAUAAUAUCAAGAAAACUUUGAUGCAAACAUUCAGAUACAACAUCACGGUUUCGACAUGUACACCAGUCAACGUCCAUAAACAGUGACAGUUAAUGAAAAGCUCAGAUGUGUGUAAGAUAGACAUCCACUACACAAAAUCACUGCUGAAAAAUCCCCAUGAAAAAAAAAACUUUAUUAAAGCAGAUUGCACGAUGUCAAUUGGUCAAUCAACAGCAUAGUGCCAAGAUUUGUGGAUGGAAUGGAUGAAUAUUGUAGAUAUCCUACUUACUCAUAAUAUUUCAAAUUAUUUACACAAUUACCUUUUUUCCCAAAAUUGUAACUCCAUCCAACGACAGAUAUACAUGAAAAUUUUACAUAACUCUUUGCUUUUAAAGAAAAAAAAAACAUAUGAACUGCAAAUGUUCUUUCACAAAAAAGGACCACCAUUUUGUGGUGAACGGACAAAAAAGGAAGCAGAGGUGUACUGCUACAGUUCAGGGAUCUGACUACACAAUUACCUCAGAAUUUUGCAGCAGAACAAUCUGCCAGGAUCAAUUAGAUAUUAUUGUACUGCUGACCAAUAAAGGGCUACAAUGUUGCAUGCUGACUAGCUAUCUUCCGUAAUACCUGAAACAAUUGACAUUUGCUAACAAAAUCACUCUCAAAUCAGAUGGCCUCUAUCUUGUAAACACAAUAAGACAUAUAUUCCUGUUGUUGCAAAAUGCCCAGAGGGAGGAAAAGCGAAAAUUAGGAACAAGAAUCAGAAAAGUCAGGAAAACAAUUGAAGCAUAAGCGUCUAGAACUCCCCAAGGGAGCAUGCUCAAGUCACUUGUACAAAGAACAAAUAAAGCGCAAUAACUAGCUACUCUAAUAGCAUUCCUUUCAUUAAAGUUGUGCUGCAAUUAGUCUAUUAUUAAGUUGCAGUUGCCUCUUUGAGAACUUCCAAAGCAACUAGCAAAGUACAGCCCUGGGAGCCAGUCAACUUUAUCGGUUAAACUAUAGCAGGUAAAAGGACAAGUUUACUUGCAAAAAUAUAAUGUUCUUUAAGCUGAGCACGGUAACACAGUUCCGGCUACGGUAUGGGGAACGAGAAGGGAAGGUGAGGUCUACUCAUUGAUUUUAUAUUAGAUAAGCACAUCGUCCGGGAGACAUGGGCCCACACACUACACAUAAGAAAGAAUUCUUGAACAGUCACAACUCAUAACAAGAUGGUCUAUGACCAUUAUAUUAGUUUACUUGCAAAAAUAUAAUGUUCUUUAAGCUAGACACGGUAACACAGUUCCGGCUAUGGUAUGGGGAAGGAGAAGGGGAGGGGAGGUCUACUCAUUGAUUUUACAUUAGAUGAGCGCAUCGUCCGGGAGACAUGGGCCCACAAGAAAGAAUUCUUGAACAGUUGCAACUCAUAACAAGAUGUUCUAUGACCAUUAGAUCCACAGAAAGAGGAGCAACUAACAAGAGGGAUAUAACAGAAUGAAAGGAAUGUCUUCGAUUUGGCUCUUGUUCGCGGUAGGUAUAUAGCACGCUAGGCUUGCUGAAACACAAUUCUACGAAAGUAGAACCCAUGACUUAUGUUGAACACUUCCGCUCCAAGAAAUUAUAAAUAAACAUAUUCCAAUAUAAAAGGCUUAUAUAACGCAAUGCCUUGAAAUUUGGGUGAUAAACAAGGUUUAUGAGGAGAUUCUGUAGCCAAGAAAGAUCAGUAAACUGAAACUCAAACCCAUCAAUAAUUUUCACAACAAAGGAGAAGAAAGGAGAAUAGGGAGAUGGAGAAGAUAGGAGCAAUUUCCAAAAUAAGCAAUCUACUUGUAAACACAACACCUCCCAUCCAUGAGCCAAUAUUGAAUAGCAGUUCAAAAAAUAAUUACUAGACAGGGCUCAAAGCUAACUACCACGAAUCUCAAGCUACAGUGUGAUCAUACAUACUAUCUGCAGGCAUAGAAUGAUUUCAAUAUAAGUUGCAAUCUAACAUUAUAUAGAACUUGGGUUCUCAAGCUGAAAGCAUGAAAACCCUCUAAACACUGUAAUAAUCAUUUUGUAACACAUCAGACAUUAUCCAAUAUACAACACGACAUGGACAUACACACUGAGAUAAGACUUUUUUAUGUUACAAAUCACAAGCAAAAAUCUCACAUAGAUAAUUCGAAACACCCUAUAUCAUGACAUUAGUUCUAAUAUAUAUUCUUUACCAUGCAAUACUAACGAAUUUCCAACGUGCAAAAAUAAAAGUAGGUGGAUGAUUGGGCCUAUCUCACAUAAUGAAUCAUACAAGUAUGAAGUUCAUGUCAGAGCAAAUUCAAACUCCGCAUGAAAAAUAUUUCAAGAAUCUUCUCUACAGAAAGUAUUAGGCUGCUGAAAAAAAUACAGCAAGAAGAAAUUCUAACAGACAAAAUUCAGUCUGUGAUGACUAGACCAACCCAUUAUUCCAUACAUUCUUUUUUUUAAUAACCGAGAAAUCCGUUUGUGACCCAUCCUUUGGACCAAUCACAGCCUUCUAAAUUCGGUGGAUAAUGGGUCAGCCCCUCUACCCUUCUCCACCUGAAUACUGGGCUUCACUUGGCAUGGUGUGGGGCUUGAACCUGCAACCUAAGCCACAAAUCCUCCACCUUUUGCCACUCGAGCUAGGCCUUGGAGGCCAUUAUUCCAUACAUUCUAAGACAGAUUAUUUUUUAAGUUGAGUAAUUAUGCCAACAUACCAUCUCUGCACUUAAUGUUCAAAAAGAAAAAAACAUCUCUGCACCUGAUUUUCUUCUACAACAAGUCAAGAAGUUUAUCAUUUCCUACCAACGCAAACUGUGUCCCAUGCCCUAAUAAACCCAUGUACGCAUAACUUUUAGACAAGAGUGGCACAAAAGCUUGAGGCACCUAUAGAUACAAAAAAAACACUUAUGAUGCCUACUAAAACACCUAAUUAGGUCUUUAUAGCCAAGAUCCUGCAGUUUGUUGCUUAAACAAUAUUGGUUCAUGCACUACACCCCUCUACAAACAAUGGUACAUACUUCUAUGCCAAAUCUUAUGAAAAUAAACAUACACUACAAAAUAUGCACGCUGAAGCAACAUAUUAGAAUCUUUAUGUGCUUCCGCUAGGUGCUAGCUAUGCUGCAUCUGCCUACACGAGCAUUGCUGGCAUGCUUCCUUAGUAGCACUAAUUUAACUUUUCCACAGAGCACGUGCAUAUAUUAGAGAAACAGCUUAACAAGCUCUUUCGCCAACUGAAUGUUAAAUGGUACAUUUCAUCUAGCUUCUCGCACAUCUUCCUUCAUUUACACAUUUGAUAUAAAAAAAUGUUAAAAAGCACAUCUCUUUCAGAAUUCUCAAACCAAAAUGUUGUUAAUUCACUUAAGAGGUUGUUUGGAUGAAAGGUUCAGGCCUUAGGGAAAUUAAUCUUGGCAGAGAAUAAGACAAUAUUUGGUUGGUUGGAUUAAGAAGAACCUCUACAUAACUAAUGCAAAAUUUGGUUGGCAUAUAAGAAAUAUCCCUGCACAACUAAUGCAGCAUUUAGAUGGUGGUAAGCUGGUAAUAAACAAUACCCACAUCUAAGUUAUUUUGGGAAUCCAGAUAUUAUUCCACGGGGAGUCUCUAGAGUUUGGAUUUGAGGUGCAGUUGGUAUGAUAAUAAUUCUCCUCGUAAAACAAAGUUAGUGACAUCCAAGUGAGAUUUGAAAAUAUCAGUCAGGUAUAUUCUUCUUUCCUGAUAAAGACCAAGUAAACAGUUUCACCUGACUCUAUUACCCCUAUUGUCCUGAAUCCUCUCUGCUCUUACCCAGACCUUCCUUUCUGGACUUGUCCUCUCUUUGAUAAGUUUAUUCAUAGACUUCAGAGUUUCUUUUUGACAAGUAAGCAGAUUGUUUUUAUAUAUGGCAAACAUGCACUGAACCAGCCCUACAAAAGAUAAUUACAUGGAGUGAAAGUCACCUGUCAGAGAGUUCAUAUUUAUCAUCUUUGUUUUUGGGUUGGUGUUUUAUUUUGGGGGAGGGGGGUGUAUUCCAGAGGUUUGAUGUUGUGCAUAAUUUGGCAAUCAACUAAGACACUGUUGUAAAACCGGCCACUAAUAAAUACUCCUAAUCAUAUUUGCGGGUUUUCCAUAAUAACCAUGAGAUGUCAAACUACAAUAAUCUAGGAUGCCAUAUUACACUAUUCUGGUAAACCUUCCUUGCUUUUGUACUUUCCACAAUAUGUGAUUGAAGAAAUCUCCCAGGUAACCAACCAUGAGUGGAACAAUAUAUGAUAAUCAUCCCGAGCUAUGAAGGCAUAUAAUGUCUGUUAACCAUCAAAAUUUGCAGGAUUUCCAAAUACAGAAAUGCUUCUCAUGGAAGGAUUAUGCAAUUGUCAGCAUAGGUGGGCACUAGCAACAAAGUAAUGCUAAACCAAACAAAAACUGCCAUCUACUUGUGCAUGAAUCUAUGGAAGUAGGAAAAGUUUUUCAACAAGAAAAAUUUAUUGCAUCAUUUUCUAUGUGAAUAACAGUAACUUAACCAGACUGCACUCAUAAAUAACAGUAAGGAAAAGUUUUUCAACAAGAAAAAUUUAUUGCAUCAUUUUCUAUGUGAAUAACAGUAACUUAACCAGACUGCACCUAUAAAUAACAGUAAUUUAAUUGGACUAGAAAUGACUUUUCUUAGCUUCAAAGUUCACAAGAUUAAUGAUUUAUUCUCAUUCGUUCGCACAGUGCUCUAAAUUUUAACAGUGCUACCACAUUUGUACUUCACAAUAGGUAGAAGUGAAGCCUUUCAUUUUUGGCAGUCUAUCAACUAUGCAUUAAAAUUAAGAACAGUUAGAACUCCACAAUUUCUGUCACAUCCAGCAGGUUUAAGAACAAGUCCAACUAAUAUUAAGUAUAUUUGAAUGUCAAAGAAAACAUGUUCAAGAGAGUGAGCCAAAUGGAGGAGCAGGUCCCAAUAAAUAUAAGAAAUAAAAUGUUGAAGCACCGACAAACAGAUAGGUUCAGAUUCUUCAAAGAUUAUGUUUGUAAGAACCAAACUCUGAACAGUUUAUUUUAAUACUUACAAUGGCCGUAACAGCAGCUUCUGAGAAUCAGAUUACAGUGAAUUAUUCAGAUAAUACACCAACCAUUCAGAAGGUUCAAUUUAGUUGCUCAGUACGGUGGUAGCAGCAGCUUCUGAGAAUCAGAUUAUAGUGAUGGUAAUUACCAGAUUACAGUGACUUAUCACCACCGUAAUCUGAUAUGUUACAAGAACUAAUUACACAUGUUCCAGUUUUGUCCCAAAACUUUGGUAAGUUAUUUACAAGGCUAUAUUUUCUAAAUCAAUUUUAAUACUCAGUAUGGUGGUAGCAGCAGCUUCUGAGAAUCAGAUUAUGGUAAUGGUGAGAAUCAGAUUAUGGUAAUGGUGAGAAUCAGAUUACAGUAACUUAUCACCACCUAAUCUGAUAUGUGACGAAAACUAAUUACACAUGUUCCACUUUUUGUCCCAAAACUUUGGUAUGUGUUAUUUAUUAGGCUAAAUUAUCUAAAUCAACUUCAGAUGAAAUUACAAAUUAUAAAAUUUCUUUACCAAACAAAUAGAAAAGCAGUCUUAUAUCAGUUGUUGGCUAAGAUGAAAUUAAAGACCUCAAAGAUGUCAUACAGCAUUUUGUGCCCACGGAAGGAACAUCGUGUGAAGAGAAAAACUUCUACUCAUUGACUACAUCAAAAAUACACCAUUUUUAUUGUCUUACAGCUCACUGCAAAAAUAAUGUCAUCUGCAGAUUUUCUUCAACGGAUUCCAAAAUCCAAUCAAAUAUUUUAGCUCUAAGGAAUCCUAUUCAAUAUUAACUUAUCCAAGGAAUCAAUGAUUGAUGCAAAUUAAGGGGGCAGAACAUUAACUCUAUAAACAAAGGGGAAAAAAGGGUCAUCAGUUGUCCUUAUGUUCGACUGAAUUAUCAUACCGAGUCAUGUAGAUACAUGUUUUAUUUUUUUGAAGAUACAAGUUUAAUACAAUAAUUUGAAAUUGGGAAAAGUCAAAAAGUUGGUCAAAAGAUAUCACAUUAAAGUUGAACUAAUAGAUAUUUCUAACUUGCACUCACUUCAAGCUAAAAGAAGUGCUAUUUAUGCAAUUGGAACAACUGUUCGGGUUAAGACUAAACUAAGAAGUAGGCAGCCUAGGAUGAGACUGAGGGGUAAGAAAUGCAUUAAGUAGUAUGACCUUAUUUCAAUAACGGUGCCUGUUAAGAUUUCAGCUACGCUGUUUCUUUUACCUUCCUUUUUUUUCCUUGCACGACAAUUAAAAUAUAGAGAACUUCUAAUAUAAAUUAGUAUUAUUAUUACAUAGAUAUUAACUUAUUUUUCAGUUUCAUUUGAUCUGAUGAUGGCAUGAGUUGAGCUUAAAUGGGGAAAAACUGAGGAUUCAUAUAGUUGAACCCAACUUGUUUGGGAUUGAAGCAUAGUUGCUUCUUUUAUUUGUGUGUUGUGAUAGAUUUGUAGGCAUAAAAUAGCCCUUGAUAUAGAUCACUAUAUAACAUAUUCAUAUCACAAAACAAAAAAGAGAGGUCACUCACUUGUUACCCUCUAAAACUGAUAUCAAAAACAUUCUCCAACAUCAAGAACAAGAGGAUGGAAAUUCCAAGGAAAACCAAAAAAGAUGAAUGAAGAUUCAAACUUGCUUGCUUAUUUGCACUAUGUAUCCAAUCCUAUCUACAUAGAUGUUCCUAACCAGGAGAUGAGGGGGUGCUUUGAAAGGGGGGCGAAAAAUGUUGACUUAUCUUUGUUUGUAUCAAGACACCUGAAGGGCAGGCCCUGUGCACCGCAGGAGCCGUGACCCUAAUGCUCAUGUGUAUGUCCAAUUAAAAAAUUUCAGUUGAUGGGCAUCAUGUGCCUUCAACCGUAAAACAAAAACCUCUGAUUAACUUGCUAACGUUUACAAGAAAGAUUAAAUGAAAAUGUGAGCAAGGGUUAAGAAUGCCAACAUGGAAAUUCUCAAAAUUGAGAAUCUGAAACAGGGAAAAUUUGGUUAGCCUAUAUCAGUUAUGCAUCCUCCCAAAUUUCCAGUUAUAUAUGAAGUAUGGCAGCAAAUUAUUAUAUCAAUACUCAGUGGUAAACAUAUUCUUCAAGUUAUGAAGGAUUCUCAUUGUACACGGAUAGAGUCAGUAACUCAUUGCUGAUAUAUGAUAGGAUUUUACUUGCAUUACCUGGAGACUAAAAGACAUCACCAAAUUCAACAAGAUUAACCAGUUGAAAAAAAGAAGAUGAUUUCUUGUUAAUAACAAAAUUAAAGGAAGAUGACCAGCUAAUACAAAUAUUUCUCAUCUGCACCGAACUCUAUAACUCAGUAUAGUCAGAAUAAUUACAAGGGUCAACAGGGCUUACACUUUGUUAAGUAUGUGUCUGUGAAAUGCAUUUGUCAGGAAAAUUACAAUAGUACAAAAUCCUGCCAAGGGUCACCCAACUUUACAGCAAUUGCUCUAAUUACUGUCUUUUUUCCAGAUGUCAGUCCUGUAUCCUACUUGAGCCACCAUUAGAUACUGAAAAGAACAAACAUAAAGGUCAUAUACUUCACCAAGAAAGAAGAAUUUAAGACAGAAGUGCAGUAAAUGACACCAUUCUUAGGAGUCCAAGAACUCUACAUGCACAAAGCUCAGAUGUGCAGAUAUGUCAACCAAGUCCUUUUCCAAACUACAAAUCCUGGUUAACCAGUAACUCACCAAUGAUCAAAACCAACUGUCAAUGGCCCUCAUGCUGGCCUCCAGUUGAGGACAGUUACGUCCGGUCGGCAAGGCAUUCCAUGACCUACCACAUUAGUCAGUCAGUUCUUUCUCCCACAAAGCUGAGACUAAGAAUCAAGAAGCAAAUUCAAAUAUAAAUUCUUCACCAAUAUUUCACCUGAAAUUGGAGGACCAGUAGGGAAAGCAUUUGACCCAGAAGGCUGGAAUCCAACAUUACUCACAGGUGGUCUAUCAGGCGGUCUGAAAUAACCUGCCAUGAAAGUCACUCGUCAAAGUGGUCUAUUGAAGAACGGCUAAACAAUGAUUGACGAUUCAAAAUCCAAGAUUGCUCCACAUUUUCUUUUUUGUUAACAGAUGUUACAACUUCAACAGUUUACCUAGUAAAGAACUUAGGUAUGUAUUGUAGGCCCUCAUAUGUGAAAAAAGAACAAAAUAUUUUCCGGCCACAACUUGAAGCCAUCACGUUAUAACCGAACAUAAGAGACGGAGUAAAAUUGGAAUGAGAAAAGAAGGAAAGAGGGAGUGCCUACUAAAACUAUAAGUGAGUGUCACACCUUCAUAUGAAUCAUUUAAAGAGAUACCCUCAAAUGUCAUGCCACAAAAGGAAUUGAGAAGUAUCGAAGAUUAAAGUUUAGUAUGGUACUGUUUCUCCAAAUACAUUUAUGGUUGUUACUGAUCACAACAAGCGCAAGAGCUGCAUCACCAACCUUAGUAGCGGUGGAAUGCCUUAUACAUUAUCACUUUUCUUUUUUCUGAUUAAGAACUAAUUUUUACUGAGCAUAUAGGAGAAUUCCCGCAUGCAAGAUGUAUACAAACCUAGAUAUAUGCCGUACAAAAACAUGACUCUCUACAAAGAGCGCACAAUCAAAUGUCACAGGUGCAUAGUAGAACUCUUCAACAAUCAGCAAGCACCAAUAAUUUAUUCAAGUAUUACAUGUCCCACUGACAAAAACAAAUGAAUCUAAGCAGAACCUAUGCCCUGACCAGUGACGAGUAACAGCUAGAUUUUGGUAAGCCAAGUGAAUGAUUUCUGUUUCCACGGAUCAAGUUCAACAGUUGAUAUUUAGAGCUUGUGCCAGUUUCAUGCACGUUACCACUUGACAAUGCAGAUAAAAGAGGGCCAGUAUAAGCAUCAUAUGCAGGCUUGAAAAUUUGAAUAAUAUGGUCUGUCAAAAUUCAUGAGUUAUUGGAGAUUUACUAAGAGCUAGCAGAAAUUCAUUUUAUUUUUUUAGAAAUUCAUUAUAUCCAAACUCCUGCCACUUUGCUUCUCAUGUAAAUCAACAAAAGCAUAGCGAAAGAGUCAAACCUUCUUGAGCAAUUGUUGGACCAGGGCAUGAUCUUCCUGCACCAAUCCACAUACUGCGCUGGUGGUCACCAUUGAACUCAUUGGGUUGAACCCUCCACUGUUCAUCACCAAUAUAACGCCUCGAUCCAUCAGAGCGCUCUGGUAAUGAGCACGGUGUAGGAUAUGCUUGUUGUGGAUGUUGCUGCACUGGGGCUCUUGGAUACGAAAAACUAUUGGAGGGGAUUUGAUGUGGAGGGUUAAGAUGCAUGGGCCUUGGGGUAAAAGGCACAUUACCAGGUUGAAAUUUCUGCGUGGACUGAGAAACUGGUGGGUUUAUAUAUGCAUCGUUAUAACCAUAUUCCAAAGGCCGUGAACUAUAUCCAGAAGAUUCCCUCAAAUUACUAACUCCUGCUGGUGUAAAAGAAGGUGGUUGCAAUGGGAAUACCUCAUUCCUAUUAGAAGCAUUGAUACGAGGACCAUGAGGCAUGUUUCCAGCUACCUGUGGUAGCCGAUGACCCUGUAAAAGAAUAUUAGUCUUAGUGUCAUAUAAUGAGAGAACAUAAAUAGCUCACAGCAAGAAGCCUUACACUGGGUAUGUUACUAACUUCGUUUGGAAGAGGAGGUUGCGUAUAUGCCACUACAGGUGAUGGCGAUGGUACUGAUGGAGUGAGAGUGUGCAAGUGUUGUGUCCCUACUUCAUGUUGGAGUGGGAAAGAAGGUUGAGGGAACAUGAGAGGAGGUGGUCCAGCGGGCAGUGGAGGGAAUGGAUGUGGCUGAGAUGGAGGUAGUGGGGGUUGUGAUGGAGGAAGUGGGGGUGGUGGUGGGGGUGGAGGUGGCAAUGGAGAUAAUGGAGGUGGAGGUGGCGCCGGUGAUGGANNNNNNNNNNNNNNNNNNNNNNNNNNNNNNNNNNNNNNNNNNNNNNNNNNNNNNNNNNNNNNNNNNNNNNNNNNNNNNNNNNNNNNNNNNNNNNNNNNNNNNNNNNNNNNNNNNNNNNNNNNNNNNNNNNNNNNNNNNNNNNNNNNNNNNNNNNNNNNNNNNNNNNNNNNNNNNNNNNNNNNNNNNNNNNNNNNNNNNNNNNNNNNNNNNNNNNNNNNNNNNNNNNNNNNNNNNNNNNNNNNNNNNNNNNNNNNNNNNNNNNNNNNNNNNNNNNNNNNNNNNNNNNNNNNNNNNNNNNNNNNNNNNNNNNNNNNNNNNNNNNNNNNNNNNNNNNNNNNNNNNNNNNNNNNNNNNNNNNNNNNNNNNNNNNNNNNNNNNNNNNNNNNNNNNNNNNNNNNNNNNNNNNNNNNNNNNNNNNNNNNNNNNNNNNNNNNNNNNNNNNNNNNNNNNNNNNNNNNNNNNNNNNNNNNNNNNNNNNNNNNNNNNNNNNNNNNNNNNNNNNNNNNNNNNNNNNNNNNNNNNNNNNNNNNNNNNNNNNNNNNNNNNNNNNNNNNNNNNNNNNNNNNNNNNNNNNNNNNNNNNNNNNNNNNNNNNNNNNNNNNNNNNNNNNNNNNNNNNNNNNNNNNNNNNNNNNNNNNNNNNNNNNNNNNNNNNNNNNNNNNNNNNNNNNNNNNNNGGUGAUGGAGGGGGAGAGGAAGGCAAAGGUGGGGUGGGUGGAGGAGAACAAGGAGGUAAUGGUGGGGAUCCCAUAGGUAGAGGCGGCAAAUCAGAUAAAUUAUCUAAAGCUGAUUCCAGGGUUCGAUCUGAGCCAGACUGGUUCACAUCAUCUGCAAACAAAGGUCUUUCAUCUUUUGGGUGACCAGAAACAUCUUCCAUUUCAAGCUCGCCAUCCACAUCCUCCAAGAUACAAUGACGCCUGUCACUAGGAGUGACCAUAUAUCUUUCAGCAUUAUCACCUGUUGCAGGUGUAUGCUCUAUUGCUAAUUCCUCAGCAGCUUCGUUUUGCAAAUUACGAAGAACAUCUUCUUCUUCCUCCUCCUCAUCAAAAACGUGAGAAGAUAAAAAUCCAGGCAACUGAAAUGUAGCAUUGCUGAAAACACAAGUAGGAAUAAAAUAUGUCAGGGUCUCAGAGAUUAAAGUAAAACAGCAGCUAUAACAAUAUUAUGACUUCAAUGACAGCAAAAGGGCAAAACAUUGCUACCAAUGCUACACAAACAAAAUGCCACAGAUUAUUAGAAAAUUAUAAAUGUGGAAAGCAGUUCUCAUGGGAUGGUAGGCAGAGGUUGUGGCAAAACGAAUCAGUAACAAAUUCUAAGAGAACAAAAGAAACUACGUCAACCGCAGUUGGUUACUAUCUUGAACACUGUUCUUAAAUUGGUUUAAGACCCAACAAUAAGGUCUUACUCCUCCUGCAUCUAGUCAAUAACAUUUCAUAAUAUGAGCCACUCACUGAGAUAAGCAUUUGCACCAACAGGAAACAGAGCACAACAGUCAUGUGGUGUGCACAGAUCCAAAAACAAACACUUGAAAAAGGAGAAGGUUCAAAAGAUACAUCUCUGAGAUUUGUACCCCGAUGAAAAACAGGGAUUCAGAUUUCGGAAAACCCCUUAACACUUCCAAAAACAGAGGAAAAUAUAUGCACACUGAUUCCUUCUUACACAGAUAAGCACACUGAUUCCUGUCUCAAACAUUCUCCUACCAUUCAAAUUGGGAUCCGAAACAAGAAUCAGAUACCUUUUUAUCAAAAAAGAAAAACAAGAAUCAUAUACCUAUUUCAUGAAUCAAAAAUUAAAUUGGAAGGCUCGAACAAAUUAAAGAAGGAUCAUGGAGCAAAUAGUUAAAAUUAUUUUAUCAACUACCAACAUAUGUUCAGUGCUAUUCUAACAUAUCCAAAUAUUUGCUGCAAAUGUACUCUCAAGGACGGCACUCAACUAAGCCCGUUCAGAAAAGGUUUGAAGAAUAUGAUCCACAUGAGUUAGCCGGGAGAGCACAUCAUUCAAAAAUGGGGAAAAUAAGGGGAAAAGGUGGGUUCAAAGCUUUUUGACAAUUCCUCUACAAGUGAACGCAAAAGGCCGAUAAAGUUCCUGAGCAUUAAAGAAAGAAAUGAAAAGCAAAAGUCUAAGCAUGCACUUUGCACCUCACUUUCAAAGCACAUGCUUCUUCAAAGUUGUGUCUACAAUCCUAAAAGAUAGUGACCCCUAGCUCACAUCUCUUUGUGACUUGACAUUUAAUAAGAUGGGUCUUCAGCUUUAGAGCCAGUUCCUAACCAUUCCAAGGAGAAGAGAAUUACAAGUAUACAGUCCUACACAUGGGACAGGCCACUUCAAAGAGGUAGGAAAUUGUCUUCAUCCCCUGUCUGAAAUUCAUCAGUGAUUUGUAGAUUCACAUCCAAUACCGACAUUAAAGUCCACACCAGCAUCAACACAAAGAAUUAUACUGAAUUCAGAUCAUGAAUUACAGCACCACCGAUAACAGCAUAGGAAGUUACAGUGCUUUGUUUUUUUCUAAACAAACAAUAAAACAAAGGGGCAGUAUAAUGCAGACGCCCAUGAAAACGAAAUGAAAGUUUCAUAGCGACAUUAAUAAGAUUCAUAGACAAAAGUAUUUCACAAGAACAAGGAUGGAAGUAAGUUGCUAACCUGCCGUACUCAUCAACAAGCAUGCCUUCCAUCUCUCUAAUAGGAUCAUCAAUAGCACGCUCAGCUCGAGAUGGUCGUCUAAAGGACAAACCACCAGACGAAUCAUCAUUCGACGUACCAAUAUCAUCCAUAUGACGGCGAAGAAGAGAAUCAGGAUAUAUUUUCCUCUCAAGCCAUAAUCGCAAUACCUACAAAGGAGAUACAAUCAACAUCAUGCAGGACUGCUUUUAAAUGACCAACUGGUUCUAGUGUUUGCGCAAUCACCUUGAGACAUUGACGACGGUUUUCCCGGGCACCCACUCCUGGUGGAGCAGCAGCUCCCAAAAGACGAGGUAAUGCCGCUUGAACAGCAGGAAUAUAUGAUGCUCCUGCAAUGCCUGAACAAAAAUACAUGUAACAAGGCAGAAGAUCAAAUCUAAUUCAAGUACCAUAUGUCACAAUUUUACCAGAUUUUAGCAAGUAAAAGGAUUGAGAAAAUAAAAAAUAAUACUUUUUAAACUCGAUCCACAAAGGUAGUUGAUUUAAUUUUAACACAGAAAGCAUCCACCGAUCAAGAGCUUUGCACGAAAAAAUACAAGGAGAAAAUAAGGCAGUAGCACGGUAUGGAAUCAGUCCCUAGUCCCUGUUCUCAGAGCAAAGCGUGAAAUAAUUUAGUCAUGAUCUUACGAUCUGAAAAUCUCUUCAUGCUAUACAUUAAGAUCCAUUUCAUCAAUCACCAUAUGUUAUUACUCCCUCCAUUUCAAAAAGAAUGACCUCCUUUCCUUUUUAUUUUUUUUAUUUUUUUUGAUAACCGAGAAAUCCGUCUGUGACCCGCCCUUUGGACCAAUCACAGUCUUCUAAACUCGGUGGAUAAUGGGCCCGCCCCUCUACCCUUCUCCACUUAAAUAUCGGACUUCGCUUUGCAUGGUGUGGGGCUUGAACUUGCGACCUAAGCCACAAAUCCUCCACCUUUUGCCACUUGAGCUAGGCCUUGGGGGCACCUCCUUUGCUUUUAGUUUGUUUCAAAAAGAAUGACCUCUUUCCUUUUUUGGUAACAUUUUACUAUCAGUUUUCCACGUGGCAUUUUUAAGAUCAUAAGAUUAAAGGGCAAUUUUGUACAUUUGACAUAACUUUAAUUUAGAACCACACGAUUCAAAAGUCUUCUUUAUUUUCUUAAACUCCGUGUCAAGUCAAACUAGGCCACUCUUUUUGAAACGAAGGGAGUAAUAAAUUUCUACCUGCAAACCGGACUCCCACUGCCUCCAUACUUGAGCAGAUGGCUUAGAUCCUUGUUUUCUAUCUUCUUAGUUCAGAAAAAAUUGCAAACCGAACUGCGAAUAACAUAGGACUUCUAUUCUAGCAGGUAAUAUGCCUCACAUGAUUACAAAACCCAUAUUUAUGGAAGGUAACCUGUAGAUAUUUUUUUAUGCCUGUCAGUGUAUAUAAGUUAAAACACUUUGGUAAAAGAGGAACAAUGUGUUGAUUGAACCGGGCAAUAGCUUCGGAAUCGAUAGCUCAGUGAGGUACACCACCCACGCUACUUCUAGUGAUAGAUAGAAAAGAUGGGAGAGGAGCUGCCAGUGCAGGAGUGAUAUUGUAAGCAAUGUGCAAUCGCAAAAUGUAAUGUAGCUACUAAAUUAGCCAGAAUUCAUCCUGGACACACAAACUGAAUUUAUGGAGAAGGAAAUUGUAAAGUAUCGGUACCUCAUACUACAGCAAAUACCCAAAAAACAAGAAAAAGAUUUGGAAGAGACCAAAAUCAGGGAAGAUCUUGUCAACCUGUGCACUCCCGCUAAACUAUACGUAGAAAUGGACUCAGAGAUGUCACUUAGUGAAGGGAGGUAGGUACAGAAGAAAUCAACAAGAAAGUAAAGAGGAGAUGAAAACAAAAUUAAGAAUCAUAAAUGUAGUGUGCUUUCACAAGAAUCUUUACCUUUAUGACUAUGAGAGCACUGAGUUAUAGAAUCCACCAAAAAAAACAGGUCCACCCUGCGAUGAAAGCUAGGUUCAUUUUCCAACUUCCGGGUAAGAAGUUCAACGACCUGCAUUAAAGAGGGCCCGAAUGCUCAAGAAGAGACUACAGGAGGUGACAAUAAAUGUACUCAUCACAAAAGUUGCUAUAUGCAGAGAGUUAUCUAUGAUGAUUAUAAGUUAGGUUAAAAUCUUAAGUCCUACCUUCUCAUUCAACAGCAAACAUUUCACACACCAACAUUUAACUUAAUAUGCAAGAUUCAAAACUCAGGUAAGUAAUUCAACCUAUUUAAAAAAGAACUUCGGAUAAAACAUUUGUCUAGACUAAACUGACUUGAAUAUAUAGAAGAAAAGAAUGGCUCUGCCAACUAAAUCUUGUUAGCUUUCCAAGAAGGCCUAAAAUAUGAGAAGUAUAGCAAGUUAGAUUCUAGAAAAGUCUCUGAGCAGGCAAGUCAAAAGCAGUUGCACUAGUCGUUUUCUUGCUGCUCAGCCCUACCCUUCAUUUAUCUUUUAGCUUUGACAAAGACCAGGUACAAGAUAUCACCACAAUCAUUAACCAUUUUAGCCAAUGCAGAGAAGUCCUUUACUUUAACUGGUAAGUUAUUUUAAUCAUUCAGAUCGAUAUUACAUAAAUUUCUAUGAUAAAUAAAACAAACUAAAAUUUUCAAGUAAAGAAAGUUUGUCUUACCUCUGAAGCCAGCCUCUAACUCAGUUAUUCUUGCUGUUAAGUCUUAGUUAAGCCAUAGUUUAUUAGGUUUGAAAGGAAAUCACAACAGCAUUGUUUCUCCUGGUUCAUGACACUAUCCAUAAUCUAACUCUUAAAACUUUGGUUAGAAAGAAGAUUUUCGGGGAUGAAGCCAAGCUCUAAAAAGCCAUUUUGAAAAAUUAUUCCCAGUUAUACAAGAAUGAUAUCUAAUAACAAAAACACACCCCAACAUGUUUGUUUUUUUUUAGAUAAAAAACCCGCCCAGAAUGUCCAAGGAAAUAAUUAAUAGAAGACACGCAUCCCACAUGAAUCAACGACAAUGCGAAAAUGACCAUAAGCUCUUACACCUUCAUAAGGUCAUCAGACUCCCACUAAGCACCUCACCUAUUUUGGUCACUUAACCCUCACGCCAGCACUUUUACCUCAAUUACCAACUGACACCUCAUUUCAUUAGAUGAAUUGCUAGGGAAUUUAUUUUUACUCCUAAAACUUUCAUUUAAAUGUCAUACACUCUCAUGUUUUCCGUCAAUACUAUACACAUUGUCUGGGCUUAGCAGACACACCUAUUAAUGAGAAAUGUCAAAACAGAACUUCUAAACACUCACACAGAAGCAAAUGCUCAAUCAAUGACACCAACCAUGUCUUGACACACCACCUGUGCACCCAUUAACUCCAUCAAAUAAAAAGAACUAAAAAGGGGAAGGCAAACAGAUGGAAAAAGUUGAACACAAACAUAUCAUGAAUCAACUUACAUAUCAUAUAUCAUGACCCCAUGAGCACUCUCGAUUCUUUUAUCAGCACAAUGUCACGCAAAGAGUUGAAGAACAGACAGAUAAAUGCUUUGCAUAAAGAAAUAUUGAUAGACCAGGUUGAUACUUUCUCAUGCAACGAGAAUUUUAAUAAGCAAUAUCACAGAACUUUUUAUGAGUAGUCCAUAAUGACAUUUAGAAAUUACAUGUACGAAACUUUUUGUCAUGAUAAAAGCUGUUGCAUUAUUUAGGCAUCUACAAGUUUGUCCUUGUUGGUAAUGAAAGAAUGAAAUCCGGGUAUAUACCAAUACCUGUUACGGGUAAAAAGAUGGAGAACGAAGGAAAUAACUCUCCCAAAAAAAAAAAAUUGUGGGGCAUUACCUGGAAUUAUUUAUUUACCGCAAGACUUACUACUUACUAUCUCCAUCUUCUAACCCGUAAUAGGUAUUGGUAUAUACCCGGAUGGCGUUCAUUCUUUCAUUAGCAGUUGACAAAGUUGGAAUUAUUCUAUCUAAAAAAAUUCUACUGUCUUUUUGGUUUGAACUGGGUCAUAUUACAGCACAUGAGAGAGACAUACACAAGCUGGAAGCCUUUGGAAAGUUGAUUAGGUCAUCAAGAAUAUCUGGUUGAUGAACCCUGCAGUUACUUUUUUUUUGGUGUUUAUGGAAUGAAAGGAACUGACGAUGUUUUGAUGGAAUAUCAACUCCAACCCACGCAUCUAAAUGCCUGUUCUGCUGGAUUAAGUUAACCCCUGCAAUUAGUACUGACCAAUUUUUGGAAUCUGUAAGCUCCCUAGUGAUAGAUUGACAAAAUGUAAGGGGACUACCAAAUACUUUUGUUCUUCUGCUUUGUAAUUACACAUCUUCUUGGUGCUUUAUUUAAAUGAAACACUAUUAUUCAACAAGUUCGUCACCCAAUUUUUCAUAAUACCAAGGACCAACUGAGUUGAUAUUUUCCUAGUGGAUAUCAAUGCCGAAAACAAAUAAACACGGAAACCUUAAAAACUGUAGAAAAACAUGUUAUUAUAUCAGUAGCGGAAGGGAGAAAAGUGGUGCUUACCUCAUUAGCAAUGCCAUACUUUGCACAAUCAAUUGCUAGACGGGUUGCACGUCCGAUACUCUCUUUGGUCCGUGAUAAUGUUUCUAUCAUUCCUUCAAAAGCAUCACGAGCAACAGCUGCCUCAGUGCCACCACUGAGUGAGCCCCCAGAGGCCCCCAGGCCUGAAAUUACUCUCUUCUCCUCAUUUUCUUCAGGCUCAGGUGGAUUUAUCGAUGAAAACUGCCGAAUCUCAGACGAAGGAGAUGAGCGAGAAAAUAGAACUUGUGUUUCAGGAUGCAGCAUGCCAGAGCUUAAUGGUUGAGAACCAAGCGCUGGAUGGGGGCUCCCUCCCUGUGGUUCAGCAUAGGGGGCCACAGCAGCAAGGGUAUUACCAUGAAUGCUCUGCAAGUGAGCUUGCCGCCUUUUAGCCUGGGCAGCUGCUAUAAGAUGCUUCAUGGACAUAUCCUGGUCUAGAACUUUGGAAUCUAUCAAAGCAUUAAGCUUCUCAUCUCUCAAAGCUUCAAGCCUGCUUUUGCCAACAAAAAUGGAACAUCACAUCAGAAGGAACUGGCAAUAAGAGGUAUCAAAGAAAAAUCAAAUAUCAAAUGUACCUUUCAAACCGUGUAGACAUGCUUUCAACAGGAUUACCAGGCACAUGAGUGGGUUCAGUCAUCGAGGAACUAGACUUUGGGGUUGUUUUUUUCCUUUCAUUGGUAGAAACUAUCUUACUUCUUUCAUUAAUAGGUUGAUCACGAGGAGGAUUUAAGUUAUCAGCAGCAAUAAUAUUGCCAGUAUCAGAUUCAGCUACCCAUUUUUUAUGAUCACCCUGAGGUUUACCAGGUAGUUUAGCACCUUUUUGUGGCUCUGAGACUGGUUUGACAGUGAACCCAGGGGACUUUUUGGGCGAUAUAGUAUCAGUUUGACCUUCCCUAGAAGUUGUUUUUGGAGUUCCAAAUUUCCCAGGACUACAUGAAACACUUGUAUCAGUAGGUAUACGCUUCUUCUCCACAUUUUUCUGAGAAACACGCCCAGAGAGUUCUUUGUGUAGUCUGACAGAUGGUGCAUGCUCCUUGAUAGAGCUAUCAUCAACCGUGCCCGAGUCUUUCACACUCGGUUGGUCAUUACUAGCUGUUCCAAUAGAUAGGUCAGGCUUCUUCACCGAAUUGGGGACGCGAGAAAUAGCAUCCCUCUUAAUAGAUCCUCCAUGAAUUGGAGUUUUGGGCUCUUCAUUUUCAUUAUCCACACACAAACGGACAGCUCUCCGCUUAGUAGGAAGUUGAGGAACAGGAGAGGAGCUAGACAUAGCCUCCAUUGCCCGUCGAUGGCGCUUUGAUGGUGGGAGAAUAUCUUCUUCACCGCAAUUAUUUGAACCAAUAGCACCUUCAUGCAAUUUCAGCGAAGUGUGAUCCUCGGCUUUUCCCAGUGGUAUUGAUUUUUUAACCUCUGAUUUCACCACUUUAGCCUCAUCAUAAAUUUUGCUCGCCAUAACAGCAUCCAUUGCCCCAUCAGCACAUUUGAUCUUCUUAGAAGGAUCUGCUAUUUCAUUGCGUCGCAACAUCUGUCCAGGUUCAACUUUCAAUUUCUUGCUAGACAACUGAAAUUUGUUCUCCUCAAUAUGGCCGAGAGCAGCAUCCACCGUCUCAGGUUUUCUAUCGUCCUCUCUUUUUAUCUUUUUCCUACCAUCGGUACCUGACUUAACCUCUGGCACUAAUUUUUUGGCACUUGCUUUUUUAACAGUUGGAUCACUGGUAGUAUCACUAAUUCUUUGCAUUUCAUGUCCACCCCCAGCUUUCUUCUUCGCCAGCUUUGCUUUGUGUCCAUUUGUCAGCUGCUUCCGACCACCAUCAAGCUGCUUCACGUCAUUAGAUGAUGUAGGAGGAGGAAAAUCUGCAUCAGGAAAAUGACUCCUCUCAGCAGUUCUCAAGUUCUCCUUGUGGAUCAAUUGCUUAUCACGCUCCUCGGGAUCUCUGUUGUCCUCACUUGUGCUUUCUGGAUUAGGCAAUGAAGCCAACUCCUUUCCUGAAUUAGAAAUCCCACUGUGAAUCGACCCCACCUUUAAAGAUGAAAUUGAUGGAGGCAAAUUACCCUCUGAAUCAUGUGAAACUAUAUCAGCAGUGUCAUCUUUAAUCAUCGAGCAGCGCUCUAGCCCAGAUCCCUCUACAAAGCUUUUGAUAUCUGUUUCUUGCUUAGACUUCUUAUCCCCGUCCAUUUGGUCCAACUCGGUAGCAGCAGACACCCUUUCAACAGAAGCUAUUCCACAGCCUGGAGCUGUUUUAUAAGCCUCAUCUCCUGAAACACUGGAAUCUUUCUGCUGUAACCCUUCAAAUUCUUCACAGAUUUGCCUCACUGCUUGGGCAAAAUGUUUUACUGUUUUGCCCUGACAUCGAGCUGACACUUUAUUUUUAACAUCGAUGGUAAAUGCCGUAAUAUCUGCUGGGGCGACAAAUGCUCUGUUGACAGGGUAAAAAAAGGGGAAGGAAACAUGUUUCAAUGAUGAACAAAUUUCAGAAAAGGAAUGACUCAGGCAGAAUAUAUGGUUUUCCAGACAAGGAUAUUCAAAUUGUAGUCUUCUUCAUAUUUGUUGCCAAAUUCACAUAACAAUUCCUUAAAUAAGUAUAUGAACACAAAAUCAUCAUAUCCAAACUUACUAAUCAGGGAUGUUGCCUGUCCAAAAAAGGAUACAACUAGACUUAAAUAUUACAGCAAUACCACAAUUUGACUUUGCUUUAGGC